CCUUGAUUCUUGACUGGUGUGACGGCACCGUAAUCCCUCCAAUCAAUGCUUUGAGGUAUCGCGGACAUGUUUACAUCCUCAAACGACACCGAUGGCUCUAAAUUUGUCAUAUUUAGAGGAAGAGAUAGACCGACAUGCUGAGCCACAAUUUCAUUAUUUGUCAUGUCAGCGAAUUGGUUAAUGCCCAGAGUAUACGAGUUUCCGCCACGCCUGUUAAAGGCUUCGAUGCGGUUUACAUUGUCUUUAAAGAUCUCAAAACGGCGCAUCUUCUCAGCAUCGUCACUGUAAACUCGGCCGAAAUCAGCCAUCCAUUCUUCAAACCUCUUCAUCAUCGAAUCAUCUGCUUCGCCGCGAGAAGCCAACGACGAAGCCCACAUCACAGAAAGAAACAAAAAAAGAAACAAUAUUUGGAAUUUGGAAGCCAUAGCUCUGACUUACAAAUGCUUUUGUUGCUGAGAGUUAGGCUCUCCGCAUCGAGUUUAUAUAGAAGUUCUCGGCCCAUGCACUAAAGUUGCUGGACCAUUAAAUNUCGAAUCAUCUGCUUCGCCGCGAGAAGCCAACGACGAAGCCCACAUCACAGAAAGAAACAAAAAAAGAAACAAUAUUUGGAAUUUGGAAGCCAUAACUCUGACUUACAAAUGCUUUCGUUGCUGAGAGUAAGGCUCUCCGCAUCGAGUUUAUAUAGAAGUUCUCGGCCUAUGUACUAAAGUUGCUGGACCAUUAAAUUUUAAUUUUUUAAAAACUUUUUUUAGAGGAAAAGAUACAACGUGCAUGUGAUGAAAUCAUUAAUUAAUUUCUCUCUUAUCCAUUGUUCGAUAGGAAAGUCGCAAUCAAGAGAGGUACAACUUUUCACUCCGUACGCGAGAGUUAUAGUGGCUGAGCUUGCCCCUCCAUGUGUGUUGACGUACGUCGUUGCAUGAUUGAUAAUACAGCAUGCGUUGCACAACAGGAAUUAAAAAUACAGCAUGUGCAUGCGCAACAGGAAUUAAAAAAUACAGCAUGUGUCGCACUAUAGGAAUAAGAAUAAGAGCCGCACAUAAUUUUAAAAUGAUAUAUGUACAUUAACAAAUAUUAUUAUUGUUUACAAUAGCUCUUUUUCUUUUUUUUUUCUUUUUUUUUUGAGAGGAAUCUCAUCAAAAAUAGAGAAUUGUCUAGAUAUCUAUCGUUUCCUGAUGUGUCGAUAUGUUGAAGGUGUUUUGGAUUAUAGUGGCGUUGGACCACAACAUACAUGUGAGUAGUUUAGAUAUCAUGUUAUUUUCUGUAGAUAUUUAAGAUUUCGAUAAAUUGAACUACAUGUCUCUAUUUUUUAAAAAAUUUGAUAUAUAUUUAAGACAUGACUCUUUCAAUUAUAUCAUGCUAGUUCUUAUUCUGAAUAAAAAAAAGGGCUAAAUUUUUUCUGAGUAGAUUUUUCUUUUUUCUUUUUCUUUUCUCUCUCUCUCUCUCUCUCUUUUGAGACCUAGUAGUCUUAUAUUUUGUAGCUAAGUUUAUUUUCGAAAUGAAUGAAGCAGAUAGCUUGCUAUCUUUUUCUCAAAAAAAAAAAAAAAAAAAGCUUAAAUUGAAUCAGUCAAACCUAUCCCCUGCUGUGUAUCAGUUACAACCUCAAUUUUAAAUAUGUUGAAAGGCAAAUUGCACUAAUAAUCUCAACAAACUUCUAUUUUUAGUCCUCAAUUUUAAGUUUUCAAUAUUUGGGACUCGUGACUAUCCAUUCUAGUGCUUAGUUAAAAAAAGUAAAAAAUACAAAAAAUUACGAGCAAAUUAAGCUAAAUUGUAGAAAAGCUCCUUACAUAUGUUGGAUUUUACACUUUUUCUUCAAUAUUUAAACUAUCAGCCAAAUCAUUAUAUACUUUACAACCACUCGCACCAAUAUAAAUUAAGAAGCGAAAAAAGUUCUAAUAUCGUGUUAAAGAACUGAAUCUAAUCAAAACAAAGUCACGGUAAAGAUAACUCUCACAUUAGAUGUACUAUUUAAUAUUAUCUAAUAAUAUAACCAAACAAGUACUCUAUAGAUGAGCGUACAUGCUAUCAGAAGCAGUCGAUGAGCUUCCCGUGCCUUCCAAGUCGUUUUGACUGUUGCGACUUGCGAAUCGUCGAUCGACUCCGUUAAACUUGAUCUAGAGUAUUUGAAGUACCUAGAAAAUAAAUUUUAUGAUUUUACGAUAUCAUUUGCCUAGUGAACGAAGGAGCUCAAAAUCAACGGCUGAAAAUAAAAAUCUUACAAAAUAUAAUAAUAUGACAUUAAAAUUUUAAAUCAAAGAUAUUUAUCUUGUUUUAUAUAGUAUAAAGAAUUUUCUAUCAAAAUUUCACGUGAUUUGGAUAUUUCUACACCGUUAAACUUGCAAACGGCUCACUACGGCCAUUGAAAUUUGUUGAUUUUGAGCCCAUUCGAUCACUAGGCAAAUAAUAUCGAAAAAUAAUAAAAUUUAUUUUCUAGGUACUCCAAAUACUCUAGAUCAAGUUUAACGGAGCCGAUCGACGAUUCGAAAGUCGCAAUAUCGAAAACGAGUUGGAAGCACGGAAGGCUCCGUGCUUCCGAUAUCAUAGUAGCCUCACUCCUCUAAUAAUAUAAUUUUGUAUUUUGUAUUUCAAUUAUAUAUACUUUCCAUAUUGACCCUCACAUUACCCCAUAAAUAUUCAAAACAAAUAAAUCUACAAAAAUAUUUUUUUUUGAGAUAUUUUUGUAUCAUAAUGUUGCAUGUGCAUGUGCAUGUGCAUGACUUUUCAAAUUGCCUGGGACAAAAAUAUUAUAUGUUUGGGGACUUUGCGGAUCGGCGCCACGUGGUCGAUUCAAUGGUCACGGAUCUCAGUUGCUUUUUCUCUCUCUCUAAAAACACAGAAUUUUUUUUUUGUCUUUCCAUCCGUGGCCAUCGGAUCGGCCACGUGGCACCAAUUUGCAUAGUCCCAAACACAUGCCCAUAAAAUUUUUGUACAAUUGUCUGGGGGCCAUCCCAAUAAUUUUGCAGCCAACGCAUUCAAUGCGGUGACAACUUAAAUUUAAUUAUUGGAGCAAGAAAAUGUGAAACCCUUAAACUUUAAGCGACUUUGAAAUAGCUCCUCAAUAUGGUUUUUCCCUCAUUGCCAUGUUUUAUAUUAGUUUAGGGUGUGUUUAGUUCUACCUAAAAUUGUUCCAAUUUUUUUUUUUCGGUUGAAAAGUAAAAUCUCAAAACAGAACCAGAAACCAUAAUGUCGAAGCAAACAACAGAACCAGAAACCAUAAUGUCGAAGCAAGCUUAGCAAUUGGAUGCAGCAAACAUCCAUAUUUAUGCAAGUUAAGCAAACAAGAUAGCAAACUGCAGUGUUGCUAAAUCAUUUGCUUCCCACUUAUUAAGAUGAGCACAAUGUCGAAAAAAUAUUAUUAUUAUACUUUCAAAAAUACAAUUAAUUUAUUAUUGAUAAUGUGGUAUAAAUAUGAUACGGUAAAUUUUCUCAUCGUCAUUUGUUUGGACCGAUACGAUGUAAUCGGGAGGGGUACAACUUUCACUCUUACGCAAGAGUUAUUGCUGUUGAUGUGUUGUUUAUUGGGACAAAAGUUUUAUAGGCAUAGUGCUCAAACUAAUUAAUUUGGAGAUUAUGCGGACUGAUGCCACGUGGCCGAUCCGACGGCUACGGAUGGAAAAAAAAAAAAAAAAAAAUUCGUGAUUUUAGAGAGAGAAAAAAAAGCACGGAGAAUCCGUGCCCGUCAGACUGCCACAGGGCGGCCGUAUCCGCAUAGUGCCCAACCAAACUAAUUAAUUGAGCACUACAGCCCAUAAAAUUUUUGUCCGUUUAUGGAAUUAUUUUUUCAGGAGAAGAAUGACGCUAAUCUGCUACCAUAAUAAAGAGGGUGAAUUAAUAGCUACAAGGAUGAGGACAGCAACGUGUCACAGAAAGAGAGACAGAAAAAAAAACAACGAAAAAAAACAUAGGAAGGUAGUUUCGAUUACAAGACCCAAAGAAUGUUCCAAGAGUUUUAUUGGAAUGAUACGCGAAUCAUGUUUGCACAACGGGAGGAGGAGCAAAUAAGAGAGCAAGCAUAAAAAUUACAACGCGAUUCACGCUCUCUUAAAAUAUUAUAAAUAUUUACAAAAUACCUUUUAAGCGAAAAUAGUCCCAUCAAAACAUAUGUUGAGAGUUACAAAUAAGGACGUGUUUUGGUUCGCUUUUUUUUCGCGCCUGGAAUCAAACUUCGAAAUCGGAAUGGGUAAAUCACAUUUGUGGGUGUUGGUACGGCGGAGUGCCAUCCAAUUCCCGAUGCCCGAGUGGACAUGGAAUCCCCCAAUCACUCUCUUUUCAUUCCGCGGCUUAGGAGGCCGAAUUGAAAUUGAAUCCGACGGAAUGAUAUUUAAUUCGGAUUAAAUUUAUUUUUAAUUGUUUUUAAUUAAACAUAGAGUUAAAAUCAAAAUUAAAAAUAUAGUAAUUUUUAAAUUUAAUUUAAAACCUAAAUUAAAAUUAAAAUGUAAAUCAAAGUAUUUCGAAUACUAAACUUAAUGAAUUGAAUUUAAAAAUUAAAUUUUAAAAUUUAUAUAAAGUUUUAUUCAAAUUUAUUGCAACCCUAAAUUAAAUUUAUGAUUCAAAUUAAAAAUUUAAAUUUGUAAAUUUUAAGUUGAAUUUGAAUAAAUCUAAAUUUAUUUCAUAUUUUUAAUUCAUCACACUCACUUAAAGUUUAUUUUUUUAAAAAAAAUAGAUUUUAAAUUUGACAUUAUUCAAAUUUUGAUAUAAAUUUUAAUAUUUAAUUUUAAUUUGAAUUUAAAUUAUAUAUGAAAAGAUAAUGUUAGUAUAGUUAAUUGAUUACUUUUUAUAUCCACCUGAACCAAACACUGAAUAAGGAAUGAUUUAUGCGAUUCCGAUUCAAGGUAUUAAACCAAAUCAGGGAAUAGUAAGAGCAAUUAACAAUUCCGAUUCCAGCUUUUGGAUUCCGAUUACGCGAUUGCCGACUCCGAUUUUCGAACGACAAACACUGCCCUAUUACCAUUGACUUUUACCAUUGACUAUUAUAUAUCUAUUAAUAGUCGGCUUAAAUUUUUAUAGUGAUAUCAAUAAAAAGGGGGGCGACGAUAUUGCCCAGGCCAUUCAUUGAAGAGGACAUGACCCUACAUAUUUUUGAAAUGCCCUCUAAAUAUUUUAUGCAAUACAUUUAUAUCAUCAUGCAUCACAAUGAAUAAUUAAAAAUAAAAAUAAAAAUAAAAAUUAGAAUUAAAACUAAAAUUAAACUUUUAAUGUAAAUAAAAGUGCAAUCAAAUUUAAAUCUAAAUUUAAAUUGAAAUAAAUAAAACUAAUUCAACAUCUAAUUUGACAAGUAACAUUAGUGAAUUCUUAAUUGGAUUCAAUUGAAUUUUCAAAUUCGAAUUACAUUUGAGUGCAGCUAAGAUCAAAGUUUAAAUGAAAAUUGACCAAAUAAUGUAAGCUGAAAUGCAGCUAUUGCGUUACAAGUGCCUGGUAAUGCUUGAUAAGGAUAGUAAAGCGCGCUUCGACAGGUCACCCGUUGUUAGAUAUUAUGAAACGUAGCCUUGUCCACCCAACCGCCUGCACCCAUAGUCCGUAGUUUAAUAAUACAACAGCACAAUCGAGAACUUCUUUCUCCGAAAGAGAUACUAAUCCCUGCUUUGACUUGUAGAUCUCUUUCACUGUCGCAUAUUGCACUGAAGCCUGCAAAACCUAUGCAGAACAAAGUUUUACGUAGCAUAACUAACUAGAGACAAAGUUAUAUAAUGAUAUACGCAUGAACUAAGGAAACAUUCAAACUAACAUAAUUAACGUUAUUUGCAAGUACAGAGCGCUUUUAACUUGUUUAAGAUUUUGAGUGUUAUAAAAUUGUCACCUAAAAGAUAUUGGCGGUUUGAACUCUCAUACACGACAUGUUUCAAAAUUUAGAAAAUUAACUAGUAGAGGAAAAAGUACAGACUAGAGGAUCACAUUUCGGAAAUUCUGAAGAUGAUUUUUCGGCCAAUCCAGAUUCGCAGCACACAUUAGAACAAAAUAAUGAUUUGAACACUCUAACAAGAUAUAGCAGUGUUGCGCACUUUAAUAUGCACAAACAUAACUAUACGAAGUAUGUUGUAUACAUUAAAUUUACUAUGUCCAAAUAAUAGGUUAAAGAUGGAAUACGAAUGAGAUUGAUUUCUUUUUUUUCCGCUACAACUCAGUUAGGUUUUGUUCUUUUACAGUGGCGUCCGACCGCAAACAUACAUCAUACCGAUUAUAUACUCAGAUCCAAUUUUAUUCGAACCAGAUAAUAUAGAAUUUGUAAUGCACUAUAGUCCUAAAACCUUAAUUAGUUAGGCUAAAUAAGAAAAAUCCUCUUGUUAACCAUCUGUUUUCACUUCCUCCAUGCUGCAUUUAAAAAUCUAUAACCUUGCGCCCCCCUAAAAAUAAAAAAUAUUCAUAUUCGGUUCCUGCCGUCAGUUUCUAGUUGAGGUUCCAUUUCAUAUCUUAUUUUUGUAAUUCAAAAUAUUUCUGAAUUCUCAUCUACUAUCCACACACCAUGACCGCCUCGCUCUGCCCACUCCCCUUCAUAGCGUAGAUGCAUCCACGCCUGCUCUCUGCCGCCUGGAAUGACAAGAUUGGGGAACAGAAAUAAAGAAAAGUAGGAACAUUUGUUCAUCUUUAUCACACCAAUAUCAUUCUAUAAAUACGUUUUUAUUUUUCGAUAAAAAAAGCAAAGUAUCAUGAUUUUUUUUUAAAAAAAACAAGAAAAACGGCUUUGCUAAAGGUUUCAUAUAAUAGCCAUUUAAUUAAUGCGAGCAACAUUCGCAAACUGAAAAAUGCUAGAAUGCACGGUUAUAAUUAGUGACCGUACGCGGCAUAACAAACCAAUUACAUUAAUCCUUUUAAAAAUAUAUGUCCGCAUCAUGAAUGUAAAGAGUAUUUAUUGUACUUUAUUUUGAAAAGAUGAUAUGAUUGGCUUUUAUGAGACGUGGUGCAAAUGUGACAGUGAGAUUCCUCUUCCAAACAUAAGGCACGCCCUCAGCUCAAACAUUCCAAACUAGGUCCAAACGUUCUUCUUUUUUUAAAAAAAAGUUGAGUUUUGUUUUUAUUUUUUUGAUAAUUAGAUUAAAAUAUUAUAAGAUUUUUAUCAGAUUUUCCUGUGAUCCAUCAAAUUUAAACAGUUGACCAUUCUGCAUUGAACUUAAUAAUUACUAAAAUUCAAGAUAUAUUUAUCAAAUAUAUCAAAUAAAAAUUCAUAUAUUUACAUAGGCGAAGGUACGUAGGACGUAAUGCAUCCCAAAUGGAUUAACCAAGUUCAUCGCAUCGAAACCAAAACGCAUACUUAACAAAAAACGCGUCUUUUAUUUAGUAACUGCCAAAGAUGAAGAACCAUUUCGGUCAGAGAACACCUAAUAUUUUUAAGUAAGAUUCAAAAAACCUCCAUGUGAAUUCGUAGUUUCUCACUGUUGCCUCCCUGUGUUUAAAAUGUAUCAAUUGCUCCCCCGUGUUCUUUUUCUCUUUUUUAUCAUUGCAUUUAUUUUUUAUCUUAAUCAGUCUAAAGUUAAAAUAAAAGUAUAAAAUAAAUAUUUGAUAACUCUAGAUGGAUAUCUGAAGUUUUGUAUAUAAUUUGAUGAAAUAUUAAGAAAAACUACCAAAAAAUAAAAAUGAAACCACAGGGGGCAAUAUUGAUACAUUUUACACCACAGGGAGGUAAGUGAAAAACUACGAAACCAUAGAAGGGAGUUUUUGAAGUUUUUCUUUUAAAAAAAAAAAAUUAUUUAAAUAGACUAAUUUUUUUAAAAAAAUAUUAUUUAUUUAUGUAAUUCAAUGACUAUAAUUGUAAUAGAAUAAAUUUUCUCAUUUAUUGAAUAUUUUUUUAAAAAAAAUUUUUUUUUAUUGUAAAUUUUUGAUCCGUCUGCUGAUCUCCAUCUAUUAUGGUCAGAAUUGAGAGAAAGCUAGAUACACAAGCCAUUGCAUAAGUUACAGAUAUGGUGUGGCUCAGUCGAGUAGGUUAACGGCAAACCCUUAUUUCCACCCAUAGUUGGCCGCACAUACACAAGUUGCAUUGCAUAAAGAGACCAUGUGAUCCAUUUAUAGUACUAACCAAGGCACACUAGUCCACAUAAAUGAAGGACACAUCAUUAUAGAUUUCAAACUUAACAUACUGAUAGAGACACACCGGAAACAAAACAGAAACCCACAAUGUCGAAACAAGCUAGCACUUGAUGCACGCAAAAUCCUUAUUUAUGUAAGAAACGCAAAUAAGUAGGCAAACUAGCAGGUCGAAAAAAUCAUUUGCUGUUCCGACUUAUUACGUAGCUUCAAUUUCAGAAACCCAUCUUAAUAACUUCGGCAUUAGCCCUGAUUGGAAGUAGGAAUAGAGGAGACAUGCGAUUCCACAUACUCCAGAAGACGAUACACAACUCUGCCCAUAACGACGUAUCCACUUCUCCCCCCAUGACUGCCCCCACGAGUCCUUACUAUCUAAUAUUUUUAGUUCCACGGCUAUCAUGCCCGUACCUAUAAUGGUAAUGGCAUGAUUAGAGACUAGUUCACACAGGUCCGGCGCUAAACACAACCCCAUUGUAAAUUGAAAGUUUCACUGGCAUCGAUAAGAGCACUAUGUUGAUUCGACACAGCGCGUACAUAUGCUGCGUCAAUCGUUCCUUCGCACAUAUGAAUAACCAGUAAUGUAAGCUGAAUUAGAACAGCUAUUGGCGUUUGGCAAGUGCCAUUGAGCUAUGCUUGAUAAGGAUAGUUUUUCGUGGUCACACCGUUGUUUAUGAUAUGAUGAAAUCGAGGCCUUGUUCACGAAACCUAGCCGCCUUUGCAACCGCUACUACAGCACAUCGAGGAACUUCUUGCUUCCGAUAAAGAUACUAAGUUACCCCUGUUUUAUCUGUAGAUUCCCUCACCGUCGCAAUUGCACGAAUGACCAGCAAGAACCUAUGCCAAACAAAAGAUACGCGUUAGCAUAACGACGAAGCAAAGUUAUAUCUGAGAUGCAAUGAUAUAACGAAUAUCCUCACAACUCAACAAUAAUAUAAAUGUUUUUGGCAAUACAGACUGCUUUUAACUUUAUUUCAAACGGUUUGUCAAGGCAUAUGGAGUCCUGUUCUUUUUGACUACAACGACUUUGGCUUACUUUAUAUAACUGAUUAUGGCAUAACUCAAUUAAUAGUAAGAGAACUCAGCAAAUAGAGCUAAUUGCAAAUAGAUUGAAUCAAGUCGAAGCCUGUGAACAUUGUCCUUGAAUCCUUAAAUGCGAUGGAUGUGUCCUUUUUAUCACCAUGUAUGUAUUUUUGGAUAGUUAAUUAACACUUAUAUAUACAUUUGAUGGCUAAGUUGAUUUUUUAUUAACUAGAUUCAAUACUUCAUUUCUUUGUACAUUGAUAAUGUGUGAUUAUACAUGUUUAGACACUUUUAAUCAGCCAAAGUAAUGGAAUUAUUGAGUUUUAGUGGGCGGAAAUUUGGUCCUUUUGUCCAGAAAAGGCAGAAGGCAUUCGGUAGCAAGCAUAUUUGAUCUAAGCAACAUGUUAGCAGCAUCUUAUAAAGUUAACUAAGAAUAAUUUUUUUUUCUUUUUUCUAGUUGAAGAAAUGAAGUUGCAUUGACAAUUUAUAGUCUAAAUUAUUUCUUACCACAGGGGUUUUGAUUCUUGACCUCGUUUACGGCACCAUAGUCUCUCCAAUCAAUACUUUGAGGCACCGCGGAGAUGUUUACGUCAUCAAAUGACACCACUGGCUCUCUCUCGAUAUUUAGUGGGAGAGAUACGCCGGUAUAUUGAGCAACAAAUUCGCUUUUUGUCAUAUCGGUAAACUGAUUGAUACCGAGAGUGUACGAAUUUCCGUUGCGACUGUUAAAGGUUUCGAUAUGCUUCACGUUGUUCUUGAAUAUCUGAAACCGGCGCAUCUUCUCGUCGUUGUCCUUGUAAACUCGGCCAUACUCCGCCAUCCAUUCUUCAAACCGCUUCAUCAUGGGAUCACUGGGUUCGUCACGAGAAGCUGCCGAUGGCGAAGCCCACAUCACACAGAGAAACAUGAAAAGAAACACGAGUUGAACUUUGGAAGCCAUGCUUAUGUAGCACUAAAUAUGUAUGAGGAAAUUGGAGAUGGAGCUACAAGAGCUUUUGGUGCUGAGAGUAUGGUGUCAAGAUCGAGUUUAUAUAGAAGUUCAUGCCUUGGAAUGUAGGUGCGAGAAUUAUUGUGUGGGGGCCUACAAGAUGUCACAAAUCGCCAUCAAAUUAAGAUUAAAUAGUUCUGGACCGCUUGCGGCACCACGUCAUGUGGUCACUAGUGUAGUGAUUUGCUUAUUACGUCGGGCAAAUACUAUUGACAUAAAAAUUGGUACAAAAUAAAAUAUCAGUUUAGUAUGAAAAAAUAGUAAAUAUAGUUUAUAUUAUAAACAAACACUUCUAAACAAAAUAAAACUAAAAUGAAAAAAAAUUAAUCAUUCCAAUAAAAUUAUUCAAGCUUGUUAAAAAAAAUCGCAUAUCAUACAAAUGGAUGAUUAAAAUUAUUUUUAACUUGGGAUGUCUCCACCAGAUGGAUGCGAGGCAGAGACUCAUUGUCAGGAGCAGCAAGAGCACUUUUCGACUUAUGCUUUGUUGGAGCUUGUUGGGAACUUUGGAAGGAACGGAAUUCACGGAUCUUUUAGCAACCAACACUCGACGUACGACGAACUAGGAAGGAUUGUUGUUUCCAUCGUAAAGUUCUGGGAAUCUAUUUUGGGGUCCUAAUUGUGAAUCGUUUUGUUUGUUUUACCCUGUUAAUUAGUGGUCCUGUUCUGUUAAUUAGUGGUCCUGUUGUGCUUUCUGAAGUUAGCUCAAGGGGCCUUCUUAGGGAAAGCCAAGCUAGCUCUGCUAUCUUAAGAUGUAUUCUCUGUUUCAAAUAUAGUAUAUUCCUGUUUAAUCAAAAAAAAAAUAUUUUUAUAAUACAAUAAUCAGAUAAAAUAUCAUAUAACAGUUGAUAUGACUAAAAAAAACUCACAAUAACUGACCGUUCCUAGAGCAAGUGGCAAAGGGCUUGGUGAUUGGUACCCGAGGUCCCAAGUUCGAAUCCUAGUUGAUUCACAUUUCCAGCUAAGUUUAUUUCUAAAUGAAAUAAACGAAGCGGGUAGCAUGCUACCUAUCUAAAAAAAAAAAAAAAAAAAAAACUCACAAUUAUACGCAAGACAAAUACUAUAUAUAUAAACAUAUGUAAUUCGGUCUAUCGACAGACUAUUUUUUAGCGGAAAAAAAAAUGAUUCACUUCUUACUAAAAUAAAUAAUGUAAUGAAAAAAACUUUUAAUACUUUUUAUCAUCUAAAAUAGAAAAAAAUAUACUUAUUCAAAAUUUUGUCAACCGAAAGAUAUUACUAUAAAUCUAUAUUUUAAUUCAAAAUUAUUUAAUAUUUUUUUAUCUCUAAAAAUAAAAAAAUUCAUACUAUUCAAAUUUUUGCUACAAUAUCUAAUGUAAAUCUAUAUUUCAAUUCAAAAUUUAAAAUUAAUUUAAAAUUUAAAUUUAAAAUUUGAGAACUAUCAACAUAUUAAAAUAAUUUUAAAUAUUUUUUUUUCCAUAUUAUAGUGAACGAUUAUACUUAAUUACCAUUAGAAAAUAAAGAAGUUACCUUAAUUUAUAUGAUUUUACUCCAACCACUUUCAUCUACUAGCAUGCUCCAGUUCCCAAAUGUGUCUAAAUUAGAAGACAAUCCAAAUAUGAAAGCGACGAUUAGAAGUUGACAACUAAAGUUAAUUUAAUCGUUAAACUUCAAUUUACUCUCCGCUGAUUUUAGCUUAUUUUUUUAAAAUUUGAUUUUUACUGUAGUUCAAAAUUGCCUUAAUUAUCAUAUAAUUUUAUUUUUAUUUUACCGAUAGAAUUUGACAUAAGUUAGCAAAGUAAAUUUUUUUUAAAAAAAAUCAUAAAGUGAUAUCUGCUUACCAAUAAAUUCUUACAAUAAAAUAAAAAUAAUAUUAGUAAAAUAGUUAAGUAUGUAUAACUUUUCAAACCACGUAAAAAGUGAAUUAAAAAAUAUUAAACAACAGUAAAAAAAUUAAAAUUACUCGAUCCCAAUUCAUUCAUUUUCUUCAUCCAAAGAUUCUACAAUCUCAUUCUCUCAACGACAUUCGAGUGCAAAUUAAACAUAUACAUGUUACACCAAAAGUCAAAUCAGGCAUUAUAAUUUUUUUAAUAUAUAAAUUUUUAAAACUUUAUAAAAUUAUAUCAAAUAAAUUAAAUUUUAAUUUCAAAUUUUUUAGAGGAAAAGAUAAUUAGUUACACAUUUUGUUCAUUUUGAGAUUUUUUUUUUCCCCAAGUAAAACCUAAUAAGUGAUGUAGUGCCGGCAUGCAUAUGCUGAUCCUUGAAAAUUUUUAAGUAUCGUUUGGUUUGGAAAUAAGCAAAAAGUGGUUAUUCCAGGAAUAGGUAUAAAUUGAGGUAUAAGUAGGGGUUAUAUCAAUUUUGAGUUUGGAUGAAAAUUAGAUUUUUUUUUUUUUAGAAUAAAAAAAAAGUAUUUGGUUAGGUAAGAUGUAAUAAAAAUUUAAAUGGAUAGUUAUAAAUAAAAAAUAAUGAUGUUAUCAUUUUCUUUAUAUUAAAAUUUGAAAUUUGAAAUUUUAUAUUUAUAUUUUAGAAUAAAUAUAAACUUUUAAAUUUUAAAAUUUCAAAAUCUCAAAUUUACAAUUUUAAAAAUUUAAAAUUUAAAUUUUAAACUUUAAAAUUAAAAUGAAAUUUUAAUUUAAAAAUACAAAAUAUCAAAUUCUAAAUAUAAAAAAUUUAAAAUAUCAAAUUUUAAAAGUUAAAAUUAAACAUGAAUUUUUUUGUGUUUGGGGGAGCACGACGAGGGGGGACAGAGGAGCGAAGCGGAGGGGCGGGGGGUGAGGUGGUGGGUGUAUCUGCGUGUGUUGUGUUUUUAUAUAUGUAGGUGUAUUUUUUUGAUUUGGUUUAUUUAAAUUGUUGCAAUUAUUUUUUAAGUUACGCCUAUGGAUAACAAUACUGCGCCAAUUUAAAAAAAUUCUUUAAUUUGAUGGUCUGGCAGUAUGUCACAUUCUCGAUUGUUCGUAGCGUGUGCUUAUCAAUAUAACGACUACAUUUUAAGGACUAUCGUCUUAGGGUAUAACGGUGAGAAUAUCUCACAACUCAACGAGNNNNNNNNNNNNNNNNNNNNNNNNNCAGACUUUAUCAAAUUUAAUUUUAAUUUAAAAAUUUUAAACUAUUUAUGUGAUGUAUGCGGAUGAUGAAAAUAUUGAUAAAUAUCUAGAGGCAUUUUCAAGAAUUUGAAUAUCAACUAUAUAAAAUUUAUGAGACUCAAGUGAUAUAUAACAGGCAAUGGUAGAAUAAGUAUUUUGUAACUAUCACGAUUAUUUUGGAUUGAGACUAAUCGUUUAACGUGAGCCUUAAUUGACGGUAUAAAUAAUUUAUGAGAUUUUUCUUAUCACUCCUCCUCCUCCGUAUGCGCAACACGUGCUCCGGUAAUAAUUCCAAUACACAACACAUCCUGCAGUAACUCUUGUUACGGAGUGAAGGUUUGUCCGCCCCCUCAUUCUGAUUGCAUCUGUCAACGAAAAGGACGAACAAAUGCUUUCUAAUAAUAUAGGUACCUGCCGUUAUCUGUCCUAAAUAAAGGUUUUAUAGCUUUGCUUGCGAAAAUGUUUACUAUAUCAUACUUACAUCGCAUCACAAUAAUAAAUAUAUUAUAUAAUUUUUAAUAUAUAAUAAAAUUUUUUUAUAUUAUUAUAAUAAAUAAAUUUAAAAAAUUCUUAAUUUGAUUGUGGAGAUGUCACUUAUCAAUAUAACGGAUACAUUUAAGACUAUGUUCGGUUAGGGGAUAAGGUGGAAUUUAUUCACCCUCAUCCCCAAACACAAAAAAAUUCUUUUAAUUUUACUUUAAAAUUUGAUAUUUUAAUUUUUAUAUUUAGAAUUUGAUAUUUGUAUUUUAAUUAAAAUUUCAUUUUAAUUUUAAAGUUUAAAAAUUUAAAUUUUAAAUUUUAAAUUGUAAAUUUGAGAUUUUGAAAUUUUAAAAUUUAAAAGUUUAUAUUUAUUCUAAAUAUAAAUAUAAAAUUCAAAUUUCAAUUUAAUAUAAAGAAAAUGAUAACAUCAUUAUUUUAUUAUACUAUACCAUUUAAUUUUAUUACAUCAUACUAACCAAUACUUUUUUUUUAUUCUAAAAAAAAAAAAAUCUAAUUUUUCAUGCAAACCAAAAUAUGAUAUACCCCUUACUUAUACCUCAAUUAUAGCUAUUCUCUGGAAUAACAUUUUGAUUAUUUCCAAAGCAAACGAUACUAAAAAUUUUCAAGAUCAGCAUAAUGCAUGCCGCACUACACUUAUUAGUUUACUUUGGGGAAAAAAAAAAUCUCAAAAUGAACAAAAAUUUAACUAAUUAUUUUCCUAAAAAUUAUGAAAUUAAAAUUUAAUUUUAUUUGAUAUAAUUUAUACCAGUUUAAAAAUUAUAUAUUUAAAAAAUUAUAAUGCCUGAUUUGACUUUGGUGUAACAUGUAUAGUUGUAUAAUUUGCACUCGAAAUGUCGUUGAGAGAAUGAGAUGUAAAUCUUUGGAUAAGAAAAGAAAUGAUUGGAUCGGUUAAUUUAAUUUUUACUGUUGUUUAAUAUUUUUAAAUUCAUUUUACGUGUUGAAAAGAUAUACAACUUAACAUAUUACUAAUAUUAUUUUUAUUUUUAUGUAGGAAUUAUUGUUAAGCAUGCUACACUUAUGAUUUUUUUUAAAAAAAUUACUUUCUAACUUAUGUAAUUCUAUGGGUAAAAUAAAAAUAAAAAUUAUAUAAUUAAGUGCAAACUUUCGAACUGCAGAAAAAACAAGGAACAAUCUACUAAAUCAGGGAGAGUAAAUUGAAGUUAACGAUAAAUAACUUUAGUUGCUAACUUCUAACUCGGCUUUCAUAUUUUUGGAUUUGUCUUCUAAUUUAGACACAUUGGGGAACUGCGAGCAAUGCUAGUAGAUGAAAGUGGUUGGAGUAAAAUCAUAUAAAUUAAGGUACAACUUCUUUAUUCUAAUGGAUAUAAGUAUCGUUCACUAAUAUGGAAAAAAAAUAAUUUUAAAUAUUUUAAUAUGUUGAUAGUCCAAAAUUUAAAUUUAAUGUUAAUUUUAAAGUUUUGAAUGGAAAAUAUAGAUUUACAUUAGAUAUUGUAAAAAACAUUUGAAUAAGUAUGAAUUUUUUUAUUUUAUAGAUAAAAAAUAUAAUAUUUGAUUAAAAAUAGAUAUUAUAGUCAAUAUCAAUUCGGUUGACAAAAUUUGAGAUAAGUAUAUUUUUUCUAUUAAGAUAAAAAGAUAUAUAAAAGUUUGUUUCAUUUACAUUAUUCAUUUACGUAAGGAAGUAAAUCAUUUUUUUUCCUGUAAAAAAUACGGUCUGUGAUAAAUUAGAAAUAUGUUGUAUCUUGCGUAUAUAUAAUGUAGUUUUUUUUUUUUUUUUUUGAUAGGUAAGCAUGCUACCAUCGCUCGUUAUUCAUUAGAAAUAAACUUAGCGGAAAUGUGAAUCAACUAGUCGAACUUGGGACCUCGGUACAAUCAUCCCAAGCCCUUUGCCACUUGCUCUAGGAACGGUCAUUAUUGUGAGUUUCUUUUAGUCAUAUCAACUGUUAUAUACUAUAUUUUAUCUGAUUAUUGUAUUAUAAAAAUAUUUUUUUUUGAUUAAAACAGGAAUAUAUAUAUUUGAAACAGAGAUACAUCUUAAGAUAGCAGAGCUAGCCUUGCUUCCCUAAGAAGUCCCUUGGACUAACUUCAAGACAACAUGACCACUAAUUUAUAUUAAUCGAACAGGACCACAUUAACAGGGUAAAACAAACAAAAACGAUUCACAAAUUAGGACCCAAAAUAGAAUUCCCAGAACUUAGAUGAAACAAACAAUCUUCCUGAUUCGUCGUAGCGAUGUUGUUUCUAAAGAUCUUAUUCCGUCUCAAAGUUCCCAAACAAGCUCCAACAAGAGCAUAAGUCGAAAAGUCGCAUCUUCUGCCCUGACAAUGAGUUCUCUGCUCGAUCCAUCUUGUGGUAGACAUACUCAGUUAAAUAAUUUUAAAUCAUCCAUUUGUGAAUCGAAGCGAUUUUAAUCAAUUUAAAUUUUAUUGGACAUAUAUUUUUUUCAUUUGUUUUAUUUGUUUAGUAAGGUUUGUUUAUAAAUUAAAUAUAUUACUAUUUUUUCAUACUAAAAACUGAUAUUUAUUUUUACAAUUUUUAAUGUCAAUAUAAUUGCCCGACGUAAUAAAGCAAAUCACUACACUAGUGACCACAUGCGUCGGGUGCCGCAAGCGGUCCAAACUGAUUUAACUAAGUUUUGAUGCGAUUGGUGACAUCUUGGUAGCCCCACACAAUAAUUCUCGCACCUACUUCCAAGGCCAUGAUACUUCUAUAGUAAACUCGAUCUGACACAUACUCUCAGCACCAAAAGUCUUGUAGCUCCAUCUCAAUGUUCACCAAUACAUAUUAGUUGCUACAUAAGCAUUGGCUCUCCAAAGUUCAACUCGUUGUUCUUUUCAUGUUUCUCUGUGUGAUUGGGCUUCGCCAUUUUCGUCAGCUCUCGGACUGAACCCUAGUUGUAUUCUCCAUAUGAUUGUAACGGUUAUAAUUUGAGAUAUGGAUGGCGAGUAUUGGCGAGUUUACAAGGACAACGACGAGAAGAUUGCUCGCGUUUCAGAUAUUUCAGUAACAAGCGUGGAAGCAUUAUCGAAACCUUUACACAAGUUCGCAACAGGAAUUCGGUACACUCUCGGUUCAAUCAGUUUACCGAUAUGACAAUAAAGCGAACUUUGUUGCUCAAAUAUUAACUGGCUAUCUCUCCCACUAAAUAUGAGAGGAGAGCUAGUUGUGUCAUUUGAUGGACGUAACACAUCUCCGCGGGUGCCUCAAAGUAAUUUGAUUGAGAGAGACUAUUGGUGCCUAAACGAGGUCAAGAAUCAAAACCCCUGCUGGUAAGAAAUAAUUUAGACUAAUAAUUUCUGCAACUUCAUUUCUUAACAGAAAAAAGAAAAAAAAUUAUUCUUAGUAACUGUUAUAAGAUCUGCUAACAUGUUGCUUAGUUUUUUAUUCUUCCCGAAUGGCCCCUUCUGCUUUCUGGACAAAAGGACCAAAUCCGCCCACUAAUUUUCUGCUGAUAAAAGUUCUAAACAGUAUAAUCAUUUUUAUUUCAAUGUACAAAGAAAUGAAGUAUUGAAUCUAGUUAAUAAAAAUCAUCUUAAGCCAUCAAAUGUUAUAUAAGGUAAUUCACUAUCCAAAAAAUACAUUUUGGUGAUACAAAAGGACACUUUUUAUCCAUCGCUUUUAAGUGAUUCAAGACAUAUGUCCUACUUCGACUUGAUCAAUCUAUUUGCAAAUUAGCUUAUGCUGUGUUUUUUACUAUUAAUUAAAGUUAUCAUUUAAUCAUACCUACUAAAGUAAGCAAAGUACGUGUUAGUUCAAAAAACAGGACAUCAAUGCUGAAACCGUUUGAAAACAUUUUUUAUAUCAAGCAGCUCUGUACUAAAUUUUAAUUAUGUUAGUUAUUUUAUAUUCAUAGCAACUCAGAUAUAACUUUGCUACUUUUUUUACGCGUAUCUUUGUUUUAGGCAUAGGUUCUGCUGGGUCAUCGCUGCAAUUGCGACGGUCGCGAUUGGGAUAUUCUACAAGAAAAACAGGUAUUAGUAUCUUUAUCGGAGCAAGAAGUCUCGAUUGUGCUGUUUUUAUUUUGGCGUGUGGUAUACUAUGCUUAGCUGUGUAUUCAUAGUUCUGAAUCAUCUUUCACAGAUCUGAAUUUAAAUUUUAAAUUUGAAUUCAAAUUUUGAACUUAAAAUUGUAAGUCAAUUUUAAAUCUAAAUUAAAUUUGAAAUUCAAAUUCAAAUUUAUAUUUUGAAUUUGAAUUUCAAAAUAAAACUUUGAAAUUAAAUAUAAAACUAAUUAAAAAUCUAAAUUCACUACAUGCAAGAUAAUUAAAUUAUGGGGACAUAUGUUUGGAAUAUUUUUAUAUAAGUGCCCUAUUUAUGUCAAAACUUUAAAAAUAAUCUAUUAAUGCCUAAAUAUAAAGCCCAAUCCAUUCUCCGGUAAACUAAGAUUAUCGGACCAAUUUUCAUAUUGUAAUGAAUCGAUUGUAACCUAAUUCUUAUAGUCCAUUAAAAAAUAAAAAAGUGAAUAUUUAAAUGAUUUUACAGUAGUUCUUAAGUUAGAAGACGACCCAAAAUAUGCAAUGGCGGAGUUCGGAGCUGGUAACUAAAGUUAAUUUAAUAUGUUAACUUCAAUUUACCCCGUGAUUAAGUAGAUUUUUUCCCUUUUUCCUCCGAUGCUUCAAAAAUUCGCCGACAGAACCCAACGUCAGUUACCAAAGUGAAUUUUUUUAAAAAACUUAUAGCAUACUAUGCUCUUUAACAAUAAAUUCUUACAAUAAAAUAAAAAUAAAAUUAUAGAAUACUGAAGUAUAACUCUUUAAGCCAUUGAAUGACAAAAAAAAUAUAUAUAUAUAUAUAUUAAACCACAAUGAGAAAAAUUGAAAAUUAUCCUACUUUUUAGUUCAUCAUACUAACUCCAUACCUACAAGCUCAUGUAUUACACCAAAAAUCAAACCAUCAUGUAUUAUAUAUUUUUUUAAUAUAAAAAUCUUUUAAACUCUAUAAAAUUAUAUUACAUUAAAUUAAAUUUUAAUUUAAAAUUUUUGGGAGGAAAAGAUGCAGUUUUCAGUUUCGUUCAUUUUACGAUUUUCUUCUCUUUUUUUCCUUUUUGAAGUAAAACGUAGAGACUUGGUGUAUCCUAAUGUUCAUGCGAUGAAAUCAUUAAUUUCUCUCUUGUCCAUUAAUUUUUUGAGAGAAAGGUACCUGCUUUAUUCAUUAAAGAAAAAAUUAAACUACACGAUUAAGAUAAAGGAAUCUCCGAAGUAGACCGAAAAAAUGAAAAAAAAAAUAAUUAAAUUUACAAAAACAUAUAACAAAAAAAAAUUUAAAAAAAAGGAUAUGCUCGUUUAAACACUCUAUUCUUCUCCCACUGAAGCAUCAAACAUCUGAUCGAUUUGACAGCUAGUAAAGAAUUAGUAUUAGCCAAUCUAUAAAUAACGGUGUUUCUUACUGUUCAGAUAACUCACCAAUUUUUUUUUUUGAAAAAGAUAACUCACCAAUUGACUGUGAGUUUUGUAAAUCUGUUUCUAACAUUCUGAGCACUAUCCCUUCCCAUGCUUCCACUUAUCCCAUACUAACCUCUCUUGUCCUUUGCUGGAUCGGAAAGUUGCAAUCAAGUUUGUCCGUUUCUCUCCCUGUUGGAGAGCAGUCAGAUUUUUUUUUUUUGGUGCACCCGGUGCACUAGUUUUGUUUUAAAAUUUUAUUUUUUGUUUUUUAAUUAUAAUUUAAUAAUAUAUCUCAUGAUUUUAAAAAUAUAUGUAAAAUAAUUUAGAAUUUAGGAUUUAAAAUUCUUUUGCAUAUAUUUUUUAAAUAUCAUAAAAUAUAUAUCUGUUAUAUGAAAUUAAAAUUAAGAUUAAAAUUAAAAUUUUAAAGUAAAAAAUGAUGCACCGGUGCACCGAAAAAAACCCGCUGUGUCCCGAGAGGCAGAGCAGUCGGGACGGUGGCCCGCGUGGCUCGGGUGCCAUGCGGCGCCCAUCCAGUGUCCUCAAAAAAAAAGGAGAAUUAAUGGGUGGAGCCCAACAAGUUGGUACAAAUCGCCAUUAAAUUAAGAUUAAAUAGUUCGGGACCGCUUGCGACACCAUGUCAUGUGGUUAUGAGCUAAUCACAAAAAUAUUUAAGUUUCUCUACUUGUCUCAUAUUUAAAUUUUAUAAUUUUUUUUAUAGGACAUACAAUAACGAAAUAGAUCUGGACCCUGUUAAAGAUAAAAAUAUAUAAACAUUAUUCUCUAAAAGUUUAAGCUUUUAGUAUCGUUUGGUUCGAGGAUAAGCAAAAAGUGACUAUUCCAGGGAUAGGUAUAAAUUGAGGUAUAAGCGGGGAUUAGAUCAAUUUUGCGUUUGGAUGAAAAUUGGAUUAUUUCUGAAAAUAAAUAUAAAUAAUAUGUAUUAAUAUAGUACAAUUAAUAAUUUUAUAAUAAAAAUAAUGUAUUAUAAUAUAUAACAUAUUAUAUUUAUAUAAUUAGUUUUAAUUCAAUUUAUAAUUUUAAUUAAAUUUGAAAUUAAGCAUUAGAAUAGUGCUAUUCCACCAAAAUGGUGGAAUAGCAAAUCCCUUGCUAUUCCGGAAUAACCGGAAAUAGCAAGGUUUGACCGGGAUAAAAUAUCCCGGCCAAAUUUCAUCCCAUUUGGCGGAAUAGCGGGGAUAACUUUUGUUAUCCCCGCUUAUCCCCCAACCAAACGGGGCCUUAAGGAAUUCACAUUGUGAUUGUUUGAUUGAUGGAUGGCCAUUACAUUGAAAUUGGUCUAUGCACUCUGUUUGGUUAAAACUAUUUGAGUAGUUCUCAUCAAGAAUCCCUACACAUUUUUUUUAUUAUAUUCAUUUCCUACUUUUAUUCUAUCUCUCCACACACACACACACACACACACACACACACACACCCCCUUCCCACCACCCCCUCCAAAUUUGGCUGAUAUUAAUGAAAAGGAAUUAUAACUAGUUGAGAGGAGAUUUUCGGCACUUUAGAAAAUAAGUGUGUAUGUUUGCUCUACCGUGUUAAUUUACUGAAAUUACUGUCAUUGUACAGGGUUAUGUGUAAUUCCAGUUGUAAGAACCUUUAGAACACAUCAACUUGUGUCAUACGUUGUUACGCCUUUUUGACAAAACGUAGGAAUAUUAUUUGAGUAGAGGUAUUUGAAGAAGUUGCAAGAUGUGUUUGUUUAGAGUAUUGUAGUUCCAUGGAUAGGAAAUAAGGAUAGUUUAUCCACUAUAAGAGGGCAAAGGGAAUUAUCUAGGCUAAUGGUUCCUUAUGAGAGUAGCAUAACUCCAUUCUAGCGUACAGUUUGAUAUCUCCUACUUAGUUCUAGUUGGGAAUUUAUCAAACUCAAAAGUACUUAACAGGAUAGCAGGGAUAUUGCCAUUAUCUUUCCAACUUGCAAAUGCUGAAUGUAAAUAUACUUGGCAUGGAGUUGAACAAAAAAACUUUUAAGUUAGACCAGCUUUUUAGGGAGCUCUUUUAGUCUUCGCACUAUGCUAGGAGCUCUAGAUUUUUUUUCUGUUUGCUAAACGUCUGACUUUUGCUUCUUGAGUAGAAUAACUUUUUUAGAAGUCAAACCAAUUAGGUAGUAUAUACUUUUGCAUAUGCUAACAAAAGUAUGUAUUCGAAAAAUAUUUGCUGAGCUAACCUGUGACAUUAGGAUGCUAGCACAAGUAUCACUGCUGUAUAUGCUGNCUAAUUCCUACUUAAUUACCAUUAGAAAAUAAAGAAGUGUACCUUAAUUUAUAUGAUUUUACUCCAACCACUUUUCAUCUACUAGCAUGCUCCAGUUCCCAAAUGUGUCCUGAAUUAGAAGACAAUCCAAAAUAUGAAGAGCCCGAGUUCGUUUCUUCAAAAAAUUUUCGGAAUUUUUGUAGAUUUAUUUGCGAAUUUUUCGGACAAAAAAAAUGGCUUAAUCUAAUUUAUUCUUUUUAUUUUUUUGGAAAAAUACGUAAACAGCCGAUUAAUUCGUUUCUUCAAAAAUUCGCGAAUUAUUCGCGAAUUUACUAUCUAAGCCUAUCGCUCUCAAAAACAAAAGAAAAAAAAAGAAUUUUUAUCAGAGCAUGUGUUGCACAACGGGCGGAGGAGUGAUAAGAAAAAUCUCAUAAAUUAUUAAUACUGAUAGUUACAAAUAUCUUUAUUAAAUUAUUAUAAAUAUUACAAAUAUCUUUAUUAAAGCGAUUAGUCUCUAUCCAAAAUAAUCGUGAUAGUUACAAAAUACUUAUUUUAUUAUUGCCUAUUAUAUAUCAUUUGUGUCGCUUAAAUAUUCUAUAGCUGAUAUUCAAAAUUUUUCAAAAAUGCCCUCUAGAUAUUUUAUCAAUAAUUUUCAUCAUCACGCAUACAUCACAUAAAUAAUUUAAAUUUUAAAAUUUAAAAUUAAAAGUAAAAAUUUAAAUUUAAAUUUAAAAUUUGAUAAAGAUCUGAAUUCAAAUUUUAAAUUGAAUUCAAAUUUUGAACUUAAAAUUGCAAGUCAAUUUUAAAUAUAAAUUUAAAUUUGAAAUUCAAAUUCAAAUUUAUAUUUUGAAUUUGAAUUUCAAAAUAAAACUUUGAAAUUAAAAAUAAAACUAAUUCAAAAUCUAGAUUGAAAGUAAAAUUAGUAUAAAAUCUUAAUUCGAUUUCAAUUGAAUUUGAAUUAUAUUCGAAUCCAAAAUCAAAAUUUAAAUUUUAAAUUUAUAAUUAAAAUUAGAUUAAAUUAAUAUUACAAUUCAAUAUUAUAAUGUAAAUUUGAGUGAGUCUAAGAUCGCAGUUUAAAUUGAAAAUUGAAUUAAAAAAUUCUAAUUAUAAAUUUUGGAAAUAUUUAGAGAUAAAAUGAUAUUUUAAAAUUUAAGUAGCAUUAAACUAGCUUCCAACUAAGAUUAGGAUAACACUCCGUGACGUGAGUUUACAUAAGAAAUAUUUAUGAUAUAACUCAUUCUAUUGGAAGAGCGUAUAUGAUAUUUUAAUAUUUUUAGAGGUGCCUGUGAUAGUUUAAGAUUUUGAAAAAUAGUUAUGAAACUGUCCCUGCAUUUCAAAAUUUGGAAAACUGAUCUCCCUGACUUGCGGAUUUCAUGUAGUACAAUUUUUUGACGGUGUUCUUAAUGCAAGUAACAAAUUAUAAGCAACUUUAAAGGAAAAAAAGUUACAUAUUUUUAGGGAUCGUAUUUUGGAAAUUUGAGGAUGAGUUUUUAGUUGUCCAGGUUUCACGCUUUGAUAAAUAAUAUGAUCAGAAGAAUCAUAAAUGGCGAUAGCUUACGUUUACCUACUUUUAUUAGAUAUAUAGUUUAAUAUAUUCUUUUUCCGCAUAAAAUUACUAAUUAAAUAAAACCAAUUGAUGCUCAAACUCUCUCUUCCUAUGGAAUAAAAAUAAAACAUAAAAAAGGAUAAAUUACGCUUUUGGUCCUCAAACUAUAAGAUAUAUGACACUUUAGUCUUCAAACUUUAAUGUGUUAUAAUAACUUAUGGCUCAAAGUAUGAGACACGUGACACUUUAGUCCUUAAAUUUUAAUUAGUUGUAAUUUCUGACUUACACUAAAGUUAAUUAAUUUAUUUAUUUCUACGAAAUCGAUCGGUUUUGUUCAAUCAGUAAUUUUAUUCGAUGUUAAACUAUAUAACAAAUUUUAUAAUGUCUAAUUGUUAAAAUUAAAAAUCGACCAAUCAUAUUUUAAAUAUUAAAAAAAUUAUAGAUGCAAAAUUGAUCUUUGAUCGGAUUGUAAUAUAAUAUUAAACUUUUAUAAUAAAAUCGUAUAAAAUUUGUCUAAACUAUAAACCAUUCUGAAUCAUCUAUUCAACCUUUUAAAAUUUUAUUCUUAUUAUCGAACUAUUCGAUACGUUAGAUUUUAAAAUUUAUAUAUAAAAGGUUUAUAUAUUUUAAAUUUUAUAAUAAAAGCCCGCCACGCCUCUCUCCCCCGGCCCCGCCCCAGCGUCUGCGACGUGGCUCAUAAGAGACAAUUGAAAUUAUUUCGGGGACCAUCCGAGUUAUUUUGCAGCCAAGGUUGGACGUGGAUUAAUGCGGCGAUAACUCAAAUUACCAUUACCAUACUAUAAAUCCGAGCAAGAAAUGUAUGGAACCCCCUGAACUAUAUGCCACUAUGAAAUAGCGCCUUCAAUCUACUUUUGUUUUUUCCCAUUUCGUGUUGAGUGAUUUUGGUGACUCACAGUAAUUAUGAUAAUUUUAUCAUAUUUAAUUUAUUUAGUUUACAUACUACGUACAAUUGGCAGUUUGUGCAACAAUUAAUCUAUUCAGCUUAUUUUAUUCAGCUUGUUUUAUUAUACUAUAUAUGUUGAGUAUCACAACGAUGAUCUUCUAGCUUAUUUUCACGAAACUUUGCAUCGGAAUUUAAUAAUCGUUUUAAAUAUUUUUUAACUUCUUAGAUUACGGUGGUAUUAAAGUGCAUUACCAUAUAUUUUUUUUUUGAGAAAAAAAUUUUAUNCAUUCCGUGCGUCUGUGCUAGCAGUUCUUGGCAUGACUCCAUGCCACUCCAUAAAUCCUUGCUUUUGUUGUUUACAAGGCUAAACUUCAAAAUCGGCACUGUGGUAUAGUGCAUUUUCGCGUUGGUGCACUAUGGAUUCUUUUCUAUCACAUAGGUGCCCUGAGUUUGGUAUUGAAAUUAUUCCUCAAGGACCUUUUUUCUAGCCCUGUUGGUAUUUGUGUGUGUUUCCAGUUCAAAUCGUUGUUGGCUCGGUUUUUUUAAGUCUAAACUCAACCGAGAACCCGAAUGCAAGCCCAUCUUAUAAGGGGUUUCUGAUUAAGUUUGAAUCAGAACACGACCUAAGCCCUGACCUAACACGACCCAACCUGUUUAUAUAUAUAUAUAUAUAUAUAUAUAUAUAUAUAUAUAUAUAUAUAUAUAUUCCAGUCAAUCUAUUUCUAGCAUACUGAGCACUAAUCCCUUCCGAUGCAUCCACUUAUCCCAUGCCAACCUUUCUUGUCCUUUGUUGGAUCGGAGAGUUGCAAUCAAGAGUGGGACAACUUUUCACUCCGUCCGCAAGAGUUGUUGUCGCUGCGCUUGCACCUCAUUUAUUGUUGUUGUAUGAUUGAAAUUAUUUAGGGCAUGUGUGGCACAACAUGAAUAAGAAUAAGAGUUUAUGCACAUAAAUUUAUAUAUAUAUAUAUAUAUAUAUAGAGUCCGGCUACUAUACUCUUAUGAGUAUGAUUGUCCUCGUACUUAUAAGUUGUUUUCGAUGAUAGAGCUUCCGAAUCGACGAUCCAUACUGUUAAAUAUUAUUUAGAGCAUUUAAAACGUAUAGAAAUUAAAUUUUAUAAUUUUUCGAUAUCAUUUACCUUACAAUCAAAAGGUCACAAAAUUGACAAUUUUUAACGGCCGGUAUGAAAUAUUUGUUAGUUAAACAGUAUAAAAGAAUCAAAAUAAGUUGAUUUUUUGAUAGAAAAUUCUAUUCAGUAUAUAGAUAAAGAUCAAUAGCUCCGAUCUUAAAUUGAAGGAUCCGAUCAUAAAUUUUUAAGACGUCGUUCGAUUUUGACAAUUCAUUUUAUACCCGCUUGAUGAACUUUAUUAUGAUUUCAAAAAAUUACGAAAUUUAUUUUCUAGAAAUUUUAAUAAACUAUAUUUAACGGAAUGGAUCGUCGAUUUGGAAGCUACAUCAUUGAAAACAACUUAUGAGUAUGUACGAAGUGUUCUAUACUCAUAAGAGUAUAGUAGCCCUAACAUAUAUAUAUAUAUAUAUAUAUAUAUAUAUAUAUAUAUAUAUAUAUAUAUAUAUAUAAAACUAGGCUGGUAUACUAUCGGUAGCACGGAGGCUGAUAUAUAUAUAUAUAAAAUAGAGCUUCUACAUUUUUAAAAGUACCAAGUUAUUGGUACUUAUAUAUUUUUUGCCAUUGAAAUAAGAGAUAUACGGUUAGAAUGAUGUGGGACCAUUAAAAUUGAGUGGUGGUUGGUUCGGAUGAAAAUAAUCAAAUGUAUAGAUCUAAUAGUAAAAAAUUUACAAGUAUCAAGUGUUUGAUACUUUUAAUGUACCAUAUAUGCAGAUUUCUGAGACGGUAAAAAUUUUGCUUUUGUCUAAAUAAAUGAAAGAUGGAAUGGUUAAUUUGAUUUGAAAUUUUGUUUUUCUCCCGUUCAACUCGUUACGUUCUACUGGUUACAUUCUAUAUAUUUGUAGUGGCGUUGAACCACACCGUACAUGUGAGUAAUUAAGAUACAACCUUAUUUUCUAUAGAUAUCUGAGAUUUGGGUAAAUAGCUCUACAUGUCUCUAAACUUAAAUUAGUUUUUAAACUUGUAAAUUUGGUAUAUAUUUAAGACCGGACUGUUUGAAUUAUAUCAUUCUAGUCCUUAUUCUGAAUAAAAAAAAACAAAAAGCGGUAAACUAUAGUAAAACCUUCCAGUACUGCAUGUAUCAGUUAACACCCUCAAUUUAAUUUUAAAUAUGUUGAAUGGGGAAAUUAAUUGCACUACUAAUUAAUUUCCAAACUUCUAUUUUAGUCCUCAAUUUUUAAGUUUCACAAUAUUUGGGACUCAUUGAAUGUUUCAUUCUAGCACUUAGUUAAAAAACUAAAAAAUAAAAAAAUAUAAGAGAGAAAGAGAAAAGCUAAAUUUGUAGAAAACCUCGCCCCUUUCAUAUGUUAGAUUUUAUACUUUAUUUUCUUCAAAUUAUCAGGCCAAAUCAUUCUGUACCGACUAAGAUUUGAUAUUAGAACCACUCACCCAAUCAUAAAAUAAGAAGCGAAAAAAGCUCUAUUAUCGUGUUAAAGAACUAGAAUAUAAUCUAAAAACUCAAACGGAGUGGUAAAAAUAACCUUCACAUUAUGUAUACUAUUUUAUUUUUAUCUAAAAAGAAUCUAAACACAAGUACUCUAAUAAUAUAAUUUUGUAUUUUGUAUUUCAAUUAUAUGCACUUUCUCUAUAUAUUGACCCUCACAUUACCCCAUAGAUAUUCAAAACAAAUAAAUCUACAAAAAUAUUAUUUUUGAGACAUUUUCCUAUCAUAAUGUUGUACUAGUGUAGAGACCCGCGCGAUACAGCGGGUAGAUAAUAGAAUCAAAACUUAAAAAUUUUAAUAAAAUUUAUAUUUAUAGUUUAUUAAAUUCAACUAUUAAAAAAAUAAAAUUAUAGCUUAUAACCCACACAUUGAUAAAAUAUUAAUAUGAUGCAUGUAAUUAAAUGUUGCACUUUACAUGUAAUUAGAGAAGUGGAGAGGUGAAGAGUUGGACGUUGAGAAGAGAAAAUAAUUUGAUUUAAAAUUGGGCUAUGAGAAUAAAGAAUAACAUAUGGCAAAAAAAAAAUUUUUAUGGUACAUGCAAAAGAGUUACAAAAAAGAGGGCUGAGAGAUUAAUGGAGAAGAGAAGUUGAUUAAAGUUAUAAAUCUCACUCGAUGAUAGAAUAUUAAUAUGGUGCAUAUAAUUAAAUCUUGUUACUUACAUGUAAUUAGAGGAGUGGAAAGGUAAAGAAUUGGGCGUUGAGAAAAGGAGAAGAUGAUUUAAUUUAAAGUUGAGUUAUGAAAACGAAAGCUAACAUGCCACGUGGCAAAAAAAAAUACAAAACUGUAACUUCAUAAAGAUUUAUUUAUAGAUUUAUAGAUGUGCACGUGCGUGACUUUUCAAAUUGUGUUGGACCAUCCCAAUUAUUUUGCAAACAACGUAUUCAAUGCGGUGACAACUCAAAUUUAAUUAUUGGAGCAAGAAAAUGUAUGGAAACCCCUAAACUAUAAGCGACUUUGAAAUAGCUCCUUUAAUCUGGUUUAAUUCUAUCGACUGUUUCUAGAGCAAAUGGUCGGUAUCCGAGACUCAAGUUCGAAUUCUAGUUGAUUCACAUUUCUAGCUAAGUUUAUUUCAAAAUGAAAUAAACGAAGCGGGUAACAUGCUAUCUUUCUCUCAAAAAAAAAAAAAAAAAUCUGGUUUAAUUCUCCCUCGCUGCCAUAUUUUAUAUUAGCUUAUGGUGUUGAGUCAAUGCUUUGAGGUGUCGCUAAUAUGUUUGUAUUCUCUCUUAAAUACGUAAUUAAUGCAAGAGAUAAACUACACCCCACUCAAGUUUUUUUUUUCCAUUCUAAUUAGCUGUCAAAGAUUAAUUAAAUAUAUGGACAGUUGAAAGAAACAUUUCUCUGCUUUUCUAUUUUUUCUAAAUCUCUUACAUUUUCUCUUAUAGAUAUACGCAUGUUACGAUAGUCUUUAUAGUUCCAGUUCUAUCACUGUAACAAAAUAUAUUUUAAAUAAUAUUUUUUAGACAACGCUCUAUUAUAAUAUCUUCAAUAUUUGGUAUAUAUCAACAGUAUGACUAAAUAUUGUUAAUAAAUAUAUUUUUAUUAAAAUACUGAUAAAUUUUUCGACGCUAUAUUAAAGCGUCUGUAUAUAUAUCCCAACAUAUUUACUUAACGACUCUUUAUUCGAUAUUUUUACAGGUGUCGAGAUUAUUCUUACUGAUGCUUUAAAAACGAUCUCGAAUUUUUGUAAGUAGUAUUUCGUGAUGGACUAUUGAUGCAUAUAAAAAAAAAUUAUGUGGUUUGAUACUUUAGUUUAAAUCUAUAGAUGAAGAUGGAGCGAAAAUUUUAUUAUAGCCAAAAGUGCAGAAGAUAAGAUUUAUGCCCAUUGUUCACCCUUAUCUUGACCACAUGUUGCGGUCUAGGUUCUGGGGUGAAGAAGAUCUGCAUUAUUGCGCUUAUGUAUGUACUAUUUUCUUGACAAUUUGGGCAAUAGAAUUAAGCUCGUAUGUUUUUAAUAGUGUAAGUUAUUGAUGUUUGUAAAUUUUCGAUCUUUGAGUUAAGGGAUGUGCGGUUUGAAUGAAAAUAAUCUUCUUAGGUUGAUUGGAUAGUUGGUUGAAUAGUAUAUAUGCUCUAACGAGUAAAAAUAGUUAAAAGGAUAAAUCUAACGGCAGAAAACUUAUAAGCACUAAGUACUUGCUACUUUUGAAAACAUCAUAGUCGGACUCUCGAGCAAUAUUAGUUUUUAUAAACCGAUGAAAAAUAGAUUUAAGUAAUUGAUACCGUAAAUUUGAAAUUGUAGAUGUCGUGUAGCUUUUCCAGUUUAUAUAGUUUGCUCAGUAUAUAUUUAUCGUUUAGUUUAUGAAUUCCAUUUUUGUCUACUUCAAUAUCAAUCGAUUAUCAUAUUAUUCAUAAAUAAAAAUGGUGAAUAAAAAAGUGAAAUUGUAUCGUGCAAUUUGUGAAUAUAUAUUUUUAAUUUACCUUCUUUAAAUUAGUAUAAUUAUUUUAUUUAAUAUUUGUACAAUUUAAUUACUUUCAAUUAAAUAUAUUUUGUUUGCUAUGCAUUAAUUUUACUGCUUUAUGAAAUUUUAAAGGUAAAAAUAUAUGGUUUAAUAAAAAAGGAUUGAUGAUUUGCAAUGGGCAAGGUAGAAAUAAUUUUAAAAGAGUUGUCACUAAUCUUAAUAUUUUGAAUAAUUUUUUUAAAAUUAGGUAAAUAUAUUUUUUUGGCAUUAUUAUUUUAGAAACGCUUCUAUGUAUAUUAUGUGACUGAGGAUCAGAAGGAAAAAUUUUAGAAUGCAACUGGUAUAUUGGUGACGUGGCGUAACAAACUAAUCAAAUAUCUGGUAUAUUGGUGACGUGGCGUAACAAACUAAUCAAAUAUCUCCUUUUAGAAGUAUAUAUGUUCCAUCAUGAUUGUAAAAAAAUAUCGAUUAGAAGAGGGUACGUAGUUUCGGGACCACCUCCAUAUUGGUUAUAAGAUUGGAAUUAUUGGCACAUGCACGUGUUACGUGUACGUAGCUCGAUCGGAAUAUAUAUAUAUAUAUAUAGAACAAUAAUACAUAAUUAGCAGUAUGGCACUAUUAGGUAAUAAAUAAUAUGAAGUAACGACGAAAUUAAGCGUGCUUAUAUGGAUAUGCUUCAGCAUUAAUUUUUCAAAUGGGACCGCAAAUUAUGAUGCAUGUAUUAUCUGCUUCAAACCUCUUCAUCAUCAAAUCAUCUGCUUCGCCGAGAGAAGCCAACGACGAAGCCCACAUCACAGAAAGAAACAAAAAAAGAAACAAUACUUGGUACUUGGAAGCCAUAGCUCACACUUACGACUAGUUUUGUUGCUGAGAGUAAGGUUCUCCGCAUCGAGUUUAUGUACAAGUUCUCGACCUACUAAUUAAAGUUGCUGGACCAUUAAUGGACGUGAGAGGUCAAUUAUUCGGGGCUAUUAUUAUUAUUAUUAUUAUACGAUAUCAUUAUUGGCGGCAAUUUGCACCGCUGGUCACUGAGCCCUAAUAGCUACAUUUGGUUUGGGAACAAAUUUUGAGUAAUAAUUCGUUUAUCGUUCCACCAACAAACGAUAUUUGGGAAUUAUCUAGAAUAAGCACUAAAUUACAUUUGGAUGCUGUUUAUUGAGUUGAGUUGAAAUGCUAUUAAUAGUCUUUAAAUUUUUUUACUAUCGAUUUUUUAAUUCUUAGAUUUAUAUUUUAAUUAAUUUCUUAUUUAGGUCAUGCUAUUGAAUUUUAUAGGGAUAUAUUUAUAAUUAGUUAUGUUUACAAAAAACUAUACGUAAUUAACCCUAAAUUUAAUUAAAUUUUAAUUUUAAAAUUUUUUUAGAGGAAAAGACACAGUUUUCAGUUUCGUUCAUUUUGUGGUUUUUGUUUUUUUUUAUUUUUAAAGUAAAAUCUUAUUAUGUAGAGAGUUGGUGCUAAUGUGCAUGUGAUGAAAUUUCAUUAAUUGAUUUCUCUCUUCCGUUGUUCGAUCGGAAUGCCGCAAUCAUGAGAGGGACAGCAUUCCAGUGCUCCAUACGCCAGAGUUAUUGUGGCUGAGCUUGCACCUCUAUGUGGGACAAAAAUUUUGCGGGCACCAUCCCUAAAUUAAUAAUUUGGGGACCGUGCAAAUGGGUGUCACGUGAUUGGUUCGACGGAUGCCAAUUUUUACUAUUUUUUAUCUCUCUUUAGAAAAAUAGUAUAAUUUUUUUUUUUUUUUUCAUUGAUGGCAGUCGGAUGGACCACGUGACGCCCAUCCGCAUGGUCCCUCUAUGUGUUGUCCUUGUAUGAUUGAUGAUUGAUAGUACAACAUGUCUGGCACAACAGAAUAAGAAUAAGAGCCGCACGUAAAUUUAAAAUGAUAUAUGUAAAUUAACAAAUAUUAUUAUUGUUUAGAAUAGGUGUUUCUUUUUUUUAAGAGGGAACUCACCAAAAAUAGAAAAUUUUCUAGAUAAUGGCCGUUCCCUGAUACGUCAAUGUAUUGAAGGUGUUUUCGAUAAUAAAAUUGAGAUCUAGUAAAGUACAUUUACUGAAUAUAUAUGAGCGACGAUUUGUGAUAAUUUAUCUCUUCCUUCAAAAUCGUGUAGAAAUUAGAUAGAUUUUCUUUUAAUCGAACCGCUUCCGUAUUGAUCUAUAUAUAUAUAAUGUGAUUUGAAUACUCAUAAAAGGGGAUGGUGUACCAUUGCCCACUUUUAACAUGCACAAGACAUAGACUAUAAGUAAAAUUUACUUUUGUCUAAAUAAACGAAAGAUGAAAUAAUUAAUUUGAUUUGAUUUGAAAUUUAUAGUGGUGUUGGACCACAACAUACAUCUGAGUAAUUUAGAUACGACCUUAUUUUCUGUAGAUAUAUGAGAUUCGGUUAAAUUGCACUACAUGUCUCUGAACUUAAAUUUAAUUUUCAAAAAUUUGAUAUAUAUUUAAGACCGGACUUUUUGAAUUAUAUCAUUCUAGUCCUUAUUCUGAAUAAAAAAUGGGGUUAAAUUAUAGUCAAACUUUUCCCUGCAUGUGUCAGUUUACACCCUCAAUUUUUAAAUAUGUUGAAUGGGUAAAUUGCACUACUACUUCCCAAACUUCUAUUUUAGUCGUCAAUUUUUAAGUUUCGCAAUAUUUAGGACUCGUUGAAUGUAUCAUUCUAGCCCUUAGUUCAAAAAAAUAAAAAAUAAAAAAUAAAAAACUAUCGGAGAGAAAGAGAAAAGCUAAAUUUGUAGAAAACCUCCAUACAAAAGUUGUAUUUUACACUUUAUUUUCUUCAAUAUUUAAACUAUCAGGCAAAAUUAUUAUAUACCGACUAAGAUUUUAUAUUACAAUCACUCGCCCAAUCAUAUAUUAAGAAGCGGAAAAAGAUCUAAUAUGGUGUUAAUUAAAGAACUUGAAUCUUAUCCAAAAUAAGCGGUAAAGAUAGAUAACCUUCACAUUAGGUGUACUAUUUUAUUUUUAUCUAGUAAGAAACUAUACACAAGUACUCUAAUAAUAUAAUGUCUUUUCUAUUUCAAUUAUAUGUACUUUCCAUAUUGAACCUCACAUUACUUCAUAAAUAUUCAAAACAAAUAAAUCUAAAAAAAAAUUUCUCAAAAAACAAUAUAAAAAAAUAUUAUUAUUGAGAUAUUUUCGUAUCAUAAAGUUGCAUGUGAAUGUGCAGGACUUUUCAAAUUGUCUCGGGGGCCAUCCCAAUUAUUUUGCUGCCAACGUAUUCAAUGCGGUGACAACCGACAUUUAAUUAUUGGAGCAAAAAAAUGUAAGGAAACCCCUAAACUAUAAGCCUCUUUGAAAUAGCUCCUUCAAUCUAGUUUUUCUCUCAUUGCCCUCUUUUAUAUUAGUUUAGAGUGUGUUUGGUUCCACCUAAAAUUAUUUCAAUUUUUUUUUGGCAGUUGAAAAGUAAAUUCUCGAUGUUUGAUUGUUUGCAAAAAAAAUUUCUCAAUUUUUUUUUUUUACAGAUUCAAUAGAACUGGAGGAUUUUGUUCUCUGCUUGUUUCGAGAGGAAAACGAAAACUUCAGCCGCGAAAAUACGUGGCGUUUCGGAAAGGCGGGGAUGUGUAUCACGUGGUCCAAAAGGUGACCUCCACCUCGUGGACUGCAUGAGAGUCUCUCCCCCUUUUCUUAUAUAUAUAUAGAGUCCGGCAGCUAUACUCUAAUUAUGAGAACGAUCGCCCUCCUACUCAUAAGUCGUUUUCGAUAAUAGAGUUUCCGAAUCGACAAUCCAUACCGUUAAACAUUAUCUACAGUAUUUAAAACUUCUAGAAAUCAAAUUCUAUAGUAGGUCUUGUGUGCUUUUAGAAGUACAAGGCCUUCAUACUGCUAAACCGUUUUCGAUGAUAGAGAUUCUAAAUUAACGAUCGAUUCCGUUAGACUUGAUUUAGCAUAUUUGAAAUAUCUAAAAAAUAAAUUUUACGAUUUUUCGAUAUCAUUUAUCUAACGAUCAAAAGAGUUCAAAAUCAACGGUUGAAAAUAAAAAUCUCACAAAAAGCGGUGAUAUGGACACUAAAAUUUUUGAUUAGAGAUAUUGAUCUUGCUAUAAAUAGUAUAAAUAAUUUUUUAUAAAAAUUUUAUCUGAUUUGAAUAAUUAUACACGGUUAAAUUUGCAAACAGUAUAUAUAUAUCAACAAUUAACAAUUAUUAAUUUUGAUCCCUUUCGAUCAUUAAGUAAAUGAUAUUAAAAAAUCACAAAAUUUAUUUUCUAAAUAUUUUAAAUACGCUAGAUCAAGUUUAACGGAGCUGAUCGUUAAUUCAAAAGCUCCAUCAUCAAAAAUAGUUUAGAAGCACAGAGGCUCGAUCCGUGCUUCUAAUAGCGUAGUUGAAAUAUUCAAAAACUCCAUCAUCAAUGAUCGGUGCGAAUUAAGGAAGAAAAAAUUCAACUUAUCUUACAAAAUUAUUUUGGGAAAUCCUCGCUGCACAAUUAGGCGAAUCCUAUGCCCAAAUGAACAUCAAGAGAUUGAUAAAAAAAAGGGAGAGCAAAGAAAUGGGUUUAAAAAAACACAAGGAGGGCCCCAAUCCACCUCUCCUCCACCCAAAUAAAUGUACGCGGUACCGCCACGUUGGAUUAAACUGUGAUUUUAUAAAUUUUUAUUAUAGAAGAUGUUAUCAACAAAAAAUUUUAAUUCUUAUAUUUUUUUAUAUAUAAAGUGAAAAUUUUUAUUUUAGUUUAUUUUAAUAUCUUUUCUGUGAAACAAUCGUUGUACUCUAAAAACUUAAAUUGUUAGAGAACGAUGUUUAAACAUUUUUUAUAUUUAACACUCCCCCUCACGUCUGGGCUUGAGACUUUUUAGUCGGCCCAUGACGUGAGCUUGAAUUAAAUGGGAGGAAAUUAAUAUGUUAGGAGUCUGGCGUGACUCCAACUCAAGACCUCCUGCUCUGAUUUAGAUGUGAAACAACUGUUGUACUCUAAAAGCUUAAACUGUUAGAGAACGGUGCUUAAACAUUUUUCAUAUUUAACACUCCCCCUCACGUCUGGGCUCGAGACUUUUUAGUCGGCCCAUGACGUGGGCUUGAAUUAAAUGGGAGUAAAUUAAUAUGCUAGGAGCCUGGCGUGACUCGAACUCAGGACCUCCUGCUCUGAUACCAUGUGAAACAUCCGUUGUACCCUAAAAGCUUAAGCUGUUAGAGAACGGUGUUUAAACAUUUUUUAUAUUUAACAUUUUCCUGCAUUUGAUUCAAAAUUUAUUACAAACUAAUAGGUUGAUGAUGUCUUCUGUUUUUAUUUAAUAUCUAAAUUUGAGGGCAGUGAGUACCCCAAUUUAAUUUUUUUAAUUCAAUAUCAUUUGAUUAUCAAAUUAUUCAUAAAUAAAAAUGGUGAAUAAAAAGUGAAAUUGUAUCGUACAAUUUGUGAAUAUAUAUUUUUAGUUUACCUUGUUUAAAUUAGUAUGAUUGUUUUAUUUAAUAUUUGUACAAUUUAAUUACGUUCAAUUAACUAUAUUUUGUUUGCUAUGCAUUUUACUGCAUUUAUGAAAUUUUAAAGGUAAAAAUUUAUAGUUUAAUCAAAAAGUAUUGAUGAUUGGCAUUGGGCAACGUAGAAAUUUUGAAAGAGUUGUCACUAAUCUUAAUAUUUUGAAUAAUUUUUUUUCAAAUUAGCUAAAUAUUUUUGGCAUUAUUAUUUUAGAAAAGCUUCUAUGUAUAUAAUGUGACAAAGGAUUAGAAGAGGGUACGUAGAUAUGAUGUUAUUCCUAGGUAAUACACUAAUUACCUUAACUCUUUGAAUGGUUCAUAAGGCGGAAACAUUUUGAUAAUUAAUAUAAAGGGUACAACUCGAUCUUUCUUUCUUUUUUUUUCUUUUUUUUCUUUUUUUUUUUUUGAGAAAAGGUAGUGAAGCUACCUGCUUCAUUCAUUAGGCUAAAUAAACUAAGCAUAUAUGAUUGAGGCAACUAAGGCCUCCGGAAGGGUCUUGAAGAAAAACAAAAUAAAUGGAAAAAAAAGGAAAAAAAAGAAAAAAGACAAAAAAGUAGACAACAGUGAAUAAACCUUACUAAAAACGGUCGUCCCAAUAAGGUACCAAAACAGGGUGCGCGGUCGAGUCAAAGUGCGUCAGCCCAGUCUUUGAUCAAGUAAGUGACACGUUCGAUGGCCCGGGCAGCGUUAGAACGUGUAUCGCGAAAAAUAAUAUUAUUACGUUCCGUCCAUACCACCAACCAGAUUGCCUCUAGAUGAGCCCGGCUUUGACUCGAUCAUUACUAGGCUUUGACUCGAUCAUUACUCCGGUACAUUCUAGUUUUGUAUACUCCAGCUCCGAGGAGAACACAACGCUCGUUUCCGAGAUGCAGAACAAAUUAAACAGAUGCUGUAGCAUCAUGUCACGUUUCAAAUUGUUUCGUGACCACCUCAAUAUAUGUUCACUUUUUUGUACACAUGGUUACUGCAGAUUGAACCAGCACGUGACCGAUACGUACGUUUAGUCCCCAUUAAGAUUGGAAUUAUUGGCACAUGCACGUGUUAGGUGUACGUAGCUCGAUCGGAAUAUAGAACAAUAAUACAUAAUUAGUAUGGCACUAUUAGGUAAUAAAUAACAUGAAGUAACGACGAAAGCAAGCUUAUAUGGAUAUGUUUCAGCACUUUUCAAAUGGGAUGGCAAAUUAUGAUGUACGAAAUAUAUUAUUACAUACAAAAAUAAAUAAAAUAUUUAUUUAUCAUAUUUUUUCUUUACAGGUGGCACAAUCUUUCAAUAAUUUCAAACAAAGCGUUAGUGUAUUAGAAUUUUAAUUCUUGAAUGAGAAAUUGUUGGAUUAAAAUGAUAUUAGUAUCUUAGAGUUGAGUGAUUCCUCUAAAGUUGAGUGGUUCCUACUGAAUUAUAAUAUUUAAUUCAAUAAUUUAAAAUAAUAAAAAGAAUUGAUCCAAAAAACCUAUAGCAAAAAUGGCCUUUUGGUAUCAAUAGUAUUCUAUCCCAUCUCUCUCUCUCUCUCUCUCUCUCUUUCUCUCUCUCUCUCUAUAUAUAUAUAUAUAUAUAUAUAUGAAUCAGGCUGGGAUACUAUCAAUAGGACCAAGCGUUUAGUGCUAUCAAGUUUUUCACUGUUAGAUUUAACUCUUUGACUAUUUUUAUCUGUUAGAUUAUACUAUUAAACCGAUAACUUAUUCAACCCUAGGAGGCCCACAUUAUUUUAACCGUAUAUUUUUUCAUCCAAGGACCGAAAAUCUAAUAGCACCAAUAGUUUGGUGCUAUUGAUAAUAUUCCAGCCUAGUUCUAUAUGCACACACAGGUCUUGUGUGCUAUUAGGAGCACAGAAGUCUUCGUGCUCCUAAGUCAUUUUUUAUGAUGAAGUUUUUGAAUCGACGAUCGAUUCCAUUAGACUUGAUUUAUCUAUUUAAAAUAUUUAGAAAAUAAAUUUUAAAGAAAGCGCUAGUGGAUUAGCAUUUAGCGAGUUAGAUUUCAAUUUCUUACCUCACAUGUAGUGUGUGGGCUUAGAUUUCAACUUCUUACCUCACAUCUAGUGUGUGGGCAUGUACGUAAUUGCACCGCACAGAGCAAUAUAGAUGCACAAUUCUAUUAACUGCUACAGGCUUUACAUACCAUUACUUGAUGAUCUUAUUCGGAUAAAAAUUUGCUAGGCAUCAUCCCCAAAUUAUAAGUUGGGGGACGAUGCGGAUGUGUGCCGCAUCGCCCUUCCGACACGCGCCCAUGGAAGGAAAAAAAAAAAAUGGCGCCCUGUGUUUAUAUAGAGAGAGAGAGUGAGAGAGAGAGAGAGAGCAGAGGGAGGGAGGAGAGUGAUCGUCGGAUGGGUCAGGCGGCGCCCAUCUGUAUCAUCUAGUUUGGAGACCAUGCCCAGCAACUUUUUGUCCAACUUACUCAUCAAAACAGCAUAAACUUACAAAAUUAAAUACAAACAGUUGGCUACUAAAUAUAUAUUAGGCAGCCAGUGGAACUGAUAAUAAUGCAACAAAAAUACAAAUGAAAACAGCAAGCCCUACUCGAUCAUACAGAUAAUCUUCGCACGAGCAUCGCCCGAUUUAUUACAUAGCUUAUAAGGUACGUAGCACACAGGGCACUUCAUUGCAUGCUAAAUCGCAGCUUCGAUAACCCUUACAUGGAGCUGACACGAUCAUCCGAACCCAUGUCAGAGGGUUCUGUAAUGCGCGGUGACGAAACAAGAGUCGGGUAAAUACCAUAGCUAGCCAGACCACAUAAUCCAGGAUAUGCCGUGUCUCUUAACAUCCUCACGUAUCCAUUUUCUCCCCACCUGUUGCCCCAUGAAUUCUUUAUUAUCCAAUACUUGUCUCCGGUGCUGCUGUCCUGCCCGUAACCUACGACGGUAACGGCAUGGAAAAUAUUUGUCCCACAAGGUCCUUUAAAGAUACCGCCAUUGUAGUAAUUGAAGUAAUAAGAGCUAGCAUCAAUAGCAAUAACUGUCGGCUGGUUCGCCACAGCAUACAUGAUCGCGCGUUCAUCGUAGCUAGGUUGUACAUAUUGAUAGCCGGUAAUAUAAGCUGCAUUCGGUUUGUUAUUUCUGCAAGUGCCUUUGUAUCCUACAUAGGGAUAGUUCGCCUCCGUCGUCACGCCCUUGUUAGCGAUGAUAAAUUCGUAGGCUUUGUGUACCCAACCAGAUGUGCACGCGUUGCUAACAGUACAAUCUAAAACUUCUUGCUCCGAUAGAGAUAUUAGUUGCCCUGUUUUAAUCUUGUAGAUGCCUUCUACCGUCGCGAUUGAAGAGAAUGCCCAGCAAGAACCUAUUUCAAAACAUAUAUUCAAGUUAGCACAACUCGUACAAGCAAAAGUUACGUAGAUUGUUAAUUAAGAUGUAAGAAGAACAUUCAAACAAGUAUGGACAAGGUCAAACAGAUGAUUACUGUGUUACUUUAUGCUUACUUGAGUGAAAAUGAUUAAUGUUGUCAUACUUCUUGUCGGAAAUUAAUUUUUCUAAAAACUUAAUUAAACUACUGAAGAACGAUUUCUAAUUAUUAAGAAUUAAUACUUCUUAUUAUGUCUAAUCUACAAAUGUACAUAUAGUAGGUGAUAACAUGUGUUCGUACACUUUUAGCUAGUCUGAGACAUGAACUUUGCAUUCAAAUGCGGUGGAGGUUUGGUUCUUUUGUCCACAUAAAUGGCUAAUGGAAUGGUGAGAUUUGGGCCCAAGGCAUCCUAUUCUCAUGAGGUUAAUUAAAAAAAUAACAUUUAUUAAGGUUCAGGCUGCUAUAGCUAGAAAUUAAUGCGCUUUAGUUCUCUAAACUCUACACUUGGUUCUUACCGCAAGUUCCUUGAUUCUUGACUGGUGUUACGGCACCGUAAUCCCUCCAAUCAAUGCUUUGAGGUAUCGCGGACAUGUUUACAUCCUCAAACGACACCGAUGGCUCUAAAUUUGUCAUAUUUAGAGGGAGAGAUAGACCGACAUGCUGAGCCACGAUUUCAUCAUUUGUCAUGUCAGCGAAUUGAUUAAUGCCCAGAGUAUACGAGUUGCCGCCGCGCCUGUUGAAGGCUUCAAUGCGGUUCACAUUGUCCUUAAAGAUCUCAAAACGGCGCAUCUUCUCAGCAUCGUCACUGUAAACUCGGCCGAAAUCGGCCAUCCAUUCAUCAAACCUCUUCAUCAUCGAAUCAUCUGCUUCACCGCGAGAAGCCAACGGCGAAGCCCACAGCACAGAAAGAAACAGAAAGAGAAACAAUACUUGGAAUCUGGAAGCCAUAGCUCUGACUUACAAAUGCUUUUUUUGCUGAGAGUAAGGCUCUCCUCAUCGAGUUUAUAUAGUAGUUCUCGGCCUAUGUACGUACUAAAGUUGCUGGACCAUUAUUGGACGAGAGGUCCAUUAUUGGGGGCUAUUAUACGAGAUCAUUAUUGGCGGCAAUAAUAGCUUCAUUUGGUUUGAGAACAAUUUUUGAGUAAUAAUUUUUUAUCGUUCCAGUAACAAAUGGUAUUCCGGAAUUACAUUUCGAUACUGUUUAUUUUGUUGAGCUGGAAUACUCUAUAUUAAUAGUAUUUAAAUUUUUUCGCUAUUAUUUUUUUAACCGUAAGAUCUAUAUUUUAAUUAAUUCCACCAUUUAAAUUAUACUAUUCAAAUAGCUACCCAUUCAAUGCUAAGAAGGACCACGAUCAUUCUAAUUCUAUAACUUUUCAUCAAAAAAUUAGAUAAUCGAUAGUAAAAUAGUCAAAUACUAAUAAUAAUAUUUCAGCUCAAUUCUUAUUUAUUUGUUCUGAAAUGAUAUUAUUUUUUUUUUUUUAGUGAGAAAGGUAGCACGAUACCCGCUUCAUUCAACAGAACGAUGAAUUAGGCUACAAGAGUGGGGCAGCCAAGCCCCGGGCGAAGGCGCAAACAAAAAAUAAAAAAAAAAAAAACAACAACAACGCACGCACACACUUAGGAGAGAGGAAAGAAUCCCACUCCGACACUAAUAGCUUGAGCCUCUGGACAGCUAACCCCGGAUUUGGUUGGCAAUUCCUGAAUAUCCAAUUGUUCCUCACCUUUCAAAUAGUCCACCAGCAGCCUGCCAGAUCAGUAAGUCUGGUUCUCUUCUUGUGCUGAUCCUUUCUAUCCGACCACUUUUCCCAGACGAGUUCCACGUCGUCCCCCAGGUCCUGGGCCUAGAUAUCGUCCACCUCUGAAACUAUGAUGAACUUGGUAAAUAUGCACCUACUGAACAAGUGAUCCACGGUUUCCACUUCCGCCCCACAAAGUACACAGGUAGGGUCGUCCGCCAGCCCUCUCAAAACUAGUUUAUCACGAGUAAGAUUCCUUUUCUUGAGUACCAACCAACAAAAUACUUUGUUUUUCAAAAGGAUUUUCAGGUUCCAGAUCCUGGAUACGCGUACAUCUCUCACACUCUCAAAAACACCAUGAGGUUAGUGCUUUUGAUAUUAUUAGUAUGUGGAUAUUUUAUGUUUGAAUAAGGUAUUGAAAUGAUUAAAAAUGUAUGAAAUAUCAGUUUUGCCCUUAUAUAUAUAUAAUAAUCAAAAUAAGAGUUGAGCUAGAAUACUCUCAAAAGCACCAUGAGGUUAGUGCUUUUGAGUUUUUAACUCUUGGAUGAAAAAAUGUAAGAUUGGGAUGAUGGUAGUAGGUGGUGGUAGGUGGAAUAGUGUUUGAUCUAAGGGCUAUUAGUAAUCAAUGAAUAGACUUAAGGGCUAGAAACCUAAAAGCAUCAAGGGGGUGAUACUUCUAAAAGUAUUCUAGCUCAAUUCAUGAAAAUAAACAUAAAUUAUUAAAAAGCUAAAAAUAUUAUAUUUGUCUCGAUUAUCAAAUUAAAUAUUAAUUUUUUUUAGAGAGAUAGAUAGCACGCUACCCGCUUCGUUUAUUUCCUCUAUAAAUAAACUUAGCUAGAAAUAUAAAUCAACUAGGAUUCGAACUUGGAUCUCGGAUACCAACCACCAAGCCCUUUGCCACUUGUUCUAGGGACGAUCAAUAUCUUUUAAAUGUGAAUCAAAUUUUAAAUAUUAAUUAAUUAUAAUUUAGAAAUAAACUUAGCUAGAAAUAUGAAUCAAAUUAAAUAUUAAUUAAUUACAAUUUAGGUACUUUUUUUUCUCCCUAAAGAAAAACUAGAAGCAAAUUAUUAGCAAAGAAAACACCAUUUUUUGAAUAGAAAAUAAAAAUAAUUCCCACAAUAAAUAAAAAUUAAUUCUCAACCAAAAAAUAAAUUGAUUAAUUUGGAAGAACGAGCUCGGCGACGGAGGCGUUGUUCUCAAAAGUUAGAUCUCCCUGGUGGGAGAACCAAGCUUAACGAGUUAUUAAGAUAUAAUUCGUAAAGUCCUCUACAAGAUCAGCUUUCAAUUCUCUCUUUUUUUUUUUCUUUUUUUUUUCUUUUUUCCUAUAAGUUUAAGAAUAUCUUCCUCGUUCCGGAAAUAUUCCCGAAACAAACUCUUAGUCUCUCUAUUUCAUCAUGAUGCCAUAUGAAUGCAAUGUAUAACCCCGAACCAAACACGGGCUAAAUUUACUACCAUAUAUGUGUUUAGUUCUAUCUUUUAUUUAAAGAUUAUAAUUUUUUUCUUUCUGUAGUUAAAACAAAUUUUACAUGUCUCAUGAUUUCCUACAAGUUGUAAAGGGCUAAGUGGUUGGUACCCGAGGUUCCAAAUUUGAGUCCUAAUUAAUUCACAUUUUAAGUUAAGUUUAUUUCUAAAUAAAAUAAACGAAGCGGGUACUACUUAUCUCUAUAAAAAAAAACUAUUUUGUCGAAAUAUAUUAUAAAGUCACCUGUUAAUGCAGCUAAAAAUAUUCCCAACAUUCAAUGGAUGAUAUAUAGGUAUAGCGUUGUUAAAAGGAGCUUUUUAUCUGAUAAAUGAUCGAGUUGAAUAUAUUUGCUCAUCAAAUUUUAAUAGACGCAAGGCAUAGUCUAUAAAUGUAUAGCCUAUAAAUGUAGUUUAGUAAAAGUAAAAUUACUUUUGUCCAAAUAAAUAGAUGGAACUAUAAGAUUUGAUUUUUUUUUUUUUUUUCUUACUGGGUUCGUUCUAUUUAUGGCCGCAUAGGACCGUACCACGAUAUUCUUGUUGGUUAUUCAGAUCCAACAUUAUUUGUUGUAUAUAUUUAAUAAUUGGAUAAAUUACACUACUGGUCUCUAAGAGGUAGUGAAUUUGCAACCCACCUUAAUAUCGCUUGUUGUGAAUAGAGUAUUCACUUUUAUAACAAUUGUUAAGAUUUCAUAAUGAGAGCAUUAAAGCGAAUAUUUACUAUAAAUCCAUUUUUUCAGCAAAAACUGAUCUUAGUAGUCCAAGAAAAGAGAGAAAAAAAAUCAAAUAAAAAUAAAAGUGAAAUAAUAUUCACUAACUAAAAGUGUAGAACGCAGGGGAAGUAUUCGUUUAUACCUUUUUGCGGAAGUGAUUCGCGCUACAAUGCGACGAGUCCGGAUUAUAGAGGUUGAUUCAUGUAUCCUUGGAUCGUCCUUACAGGUCUUCUAAUGUUCCAAACUCGCGGUGGAUCGAACUACAAACGAGCACGAUCGCAAAUCCACCGUUUAAGACCCUCUAGAAUAGUUGGUUAAUGGAGAAUGUGGUUUUUAUGUUUUUUUCUACGUUUUUCUCUUAGUUUUCUUAUUCUCUUUCUUAUUCUCUUGUUCUUAUUUUUAAUGUGAGAUCACCCGCAUAUUUAUAAGAGUUUCCAAAAUCCUAAUAGGUGCGUAAGAGAUAAGACCAAAUCGGCUAUUAAUUGAUAUCCUAAUAUGAUUAGAAUUUAUUUUUAAUUAGCUUUUCAAUUUAAAAGCGAGAUUAAUUCUAAUCCAGUUAGACAAUAUAAUAACUGUCGGAUCGAGUCCGAUCAUGGAUGCACCCAAUUCGAUUUAAUCGGAUGCCAACAAAAAAAAUAAUUAUAUCCUACUCUUCUGCGCGGAGUAAUUUCAAUUCGAGCUCUCUUUGCAAAUCUCUCUCACCACUUUCUCGUCCUCUAAUCUAACGGCGUCUCUUCUGUGCACGCGUGUACAAAAUGCACAAACGACUCACAGUAUAACAAAAGCGGCCCGCACACAUUGAUGAACAGAAUUACCAACUGGACCAUACUAGGCCAGACAAAACUGUAGAUUAAUUACUCGGCCUUUUUUUGACACCCCGGGCUGUUUGCUUCCAGGAAAAAAUAUCUAGAAAAAUUUAGAGGAAAGAAGUUUUUACAUGAAAAAUUCUUAUUUAAGUUUUCCGCUCGUUUGUUUUCAAGAUAUAUUAGAAUUUUUUUUUAUUUUUUUCUUAAGUUCAUGAAAAACUAGUAUUUUUAUUUUUUAAAUUUUUUUUAGAAAACGAUAAUACUAGUUNUUUUUUUUUUUUUUUUUUUUUUUUUUUUUUUGUAAAAUCUGGAAUAAUAGAGUUUUCUGAUAAAACUGGUUUCUUUGGGACUGAAUGGAGAAACUAGUAAUGUGUGUUAAUUAGUGACACAUUUAUUUUGUAUUAGUGCUAGAGGCCUGAGCCUAGAGGUGGCCUCACACAGUACUUAUUCAAGUUCCCGCUGUGUCAUCCUGACCCAAAUGUUCCUGAACCAUGGUCCAGCCCCACUAGUUUGGACCGCACGUACAUUAUCAGGCCACGGUCCGAUCCUAUUUGCUUUUACAUUUUUUAAUAUAUUUUUAAACUUUCAUUUUUAAGAUUAUAUUGUUUAAGUUUUUAAUAUAUUGAUAUAGUUAUUCAUUCAAUAAGUAGGGAUUUUAUAACUUUUUAAUAUCACUAGUCAAAAUUUAAAUAGUUUCAAUUAUGUCUGAGAGAUAAAAAAAAUAAUUACAAAUACUAAAAGAAAAUAAAACAAAAUAGAAAUUUACGAUAACAUAGCUAACACCGGCGAAAUUAUGUCGAUUGCUCAGACAUAAUAAAACAUUUUUUUUUAAGAGAUAAGUAGCAUGCUACUCGCUUUAUUUAUUUCAUUUAGAAAUAAAUUUAGCUAGAAAUAUGAAUCAACUAGGAUUCGAACUUAGAUAAUGUAGCUUAUUAUUUGGAGCUGUUUUUUUUCCCCUUGUUUUCACUAGUAUAGCUUGCCUAUAUUAUAGAGGUCACGUUGUUUGUUUGGUUUUUUUUUUUUUUUUGAGAGAGAGAUAUAAGUAGCAUACUAUCCGCUUCAUUUAUUUCAUUUAGAAAAUAAACUUAGCUAGAAAUAUGAAUCAACUAAGAUUCGAACUCGAGACCUCAGAUACCAACUAUUAAGUAUUUUGCCACUUGCGCUAGAAACGGUCGGUAUAGAGGUCACAUUGUUAUCUACUUGGUUUUGGUGAAUAGGGAUGAUUAAGAAUACGAUCAAAUUAACAUCUUGGGCAAAAAUUAAUUAAUCUAAAAUGCUUAAUUAUAUAGUUUAUUGCGCCUAUAUUAAUCUUGACAUUUGUUACAACACCAUUAUCUUUCCAAUCAACGCUCUGAGCUAGGUACCGCGGACAUGUUAACAUCCUCAAAUUAACGUCAUUUAUAGAGUCUGAUCUAAUAUUUCGUGGGAUAUAUAAUUAAACCAGUGUGUUGAGCUACAAACUCAACGUUUGCUUUAUAAGCAAAUUGAUUAAUGCCAAGAGUAUAGGAAUUUCUAGAUAGGCAUCGAUAUGGUCGACAUUGUUCUUAAUUAAAGAUCUAAAACCGGUGCAAUUUUUCAUCUUCGUCAUUGCAAAACUACUCAAUCUGACUCGACCAUCCAUUCUUCGAACUUCCUCGGAAUCAUCGGGUUCGCCAUGGAAGGCUGCCAACGGCGAAGCCCACAUCACACAAACAAACUGGAAAAGAAACAAAGCUAACUUGGAAUAAAUGUGGAAGUCAUAUACAUGGCACUAAUUAAAAAGCAGCUAUAUUUAGAAAGGCAUUUGUUGGUGCGGAACAAGGUCCUACCAUCGAGUUUAAGUAUCGUUGACUGAUUCAAAUUAAAUAAAUUGAAAGAUUGAAUAGUAAAUUAGAAUUUUGAAAGAUUAGAUAGCUGAUUCAAGGUGAUCAAUAAUUCAGAGAUAAGCUGCAUACUUUUUUACCGACAAAGAAAUAAAUCCUAACCCUAAAUGCGCGCGCACGUGCACAGUUUUCCUGUAAUAAGCACUAGUUCGUACUCGAUCGGGGUAAUUAAGCAACACACUUUUAAUACUCGAUCAUAUUCUUAUCAAGUCAUAGUAGAAUACACGUACGUCACAACACACGAACGAAUUGAUAUAUAAUAUCAUAAACAUUCAAACAACAUCCAAUACAGAGGACACUCGAUCGUGAGGGCGAGAAUCGCUCAAAUUGGAAGACACGUACGAGGAAUUAACACGAACCAUUUAAGCACGCAGAAUCCAAACAAGUUAACUCAAUCUCCACGCGCACGUCGACGUUAUUUAGUAGCUAUACGAGUUUAUAGUGUCGCGAACGGAUCGAUCGAUCACUUCAUCAAAGCCGAAUUAUAUAUGCAUACAUAGCUAGCUUUGAUCUGAAUUAUAUAGCGCUUAUGCCAUCAGAUCCCACGUCGGCGAGCUCGAGAGGAGUCGAGUUGAUAAUCGGGAUGACCGGCUGCUGGGCAAUACCACAUAAUCCUUCAACUGAAGAGACAUCUCUUUCCAAACGCCCGAACCCAUUUUCGCCCCAGUUUUUUCCCCACGAGUUCUUCAGUAUCCAAUACUUCUCUCCGGUAUUACUGUCCUCGCCAUAACCUAUGAUGGCGACGACAUGGUUGACUGCAGUUCCGCAAGGUCCCUUAAAGAUGCCACCGCCGACGUAAAGCUGGAAGUCCCUGGUGGCUUCGAGAUAGGAAGCUACCGGUUGCUUCGACACGGCAACCUUAAGACUGGUUUCGUUGUUUCUAGGCAGAUGUUGAUAAGCGUCGAUGUAAGCCGCAUUCGGCACGAUGUUGGACUCACAAUUGCGUUGAACUCCUGUAUAGGGAUAGGAAGACUCGGUUGCCACACCUCCAUUCCGUAUGAUGAAUUUGUAGGCUUGGUGCGCCCAGCCUCCACCUAUGCACCCGCUGCCAACGCUGCAAUCCAUAACCUCCUGUUCUGAUAGGGAUAUCAGUGCUCCUUUUUUGAUCUUGUAGAUUCCUUCCACCGUCGCAAUCGCAGCGAACGCCCAGCAAGUUUCUAUUCAAAAUUAAGGUUCACUUUAGCAUUUGCAAGAGAAAUUAAUUAUGUCCGUUAUUAAUUAAUUAAUUAAUUACGACAAAAGAAAGUAUAUACGCCACUUAUUAAGACAUAAUAAUAAUAAUAAUUAUGUAAUAACAUUUAAAUCUAUAUAAGAGAACCGUAUUAUUAUUAUCAUUAAAUUAUUAUUGUUGGGUACAAAUAGCGGUAAUAACUAAUAACUUUUUUUUUGUUAUUAGUACGCAUGCAGCACAAUAAAAUAAUAUGUAUUAUAAUAUAUAAUAUGUUAAAAUAUAAUAUCUUUUAUUAUAUUUAUAUAUUUACAUAGAGCUAGGCACCAAUACUAUCUAUAAUAGCAGGCUCCAGUACUAUAGUCUUGUCUUCAAUCUUACAAUAUUCAAAUUAAUGAUUCAUCCCGUUAAAACCUGGUCCAGCGUAUUUGAAGUUUUUAAAAGUAAAAUUUUAUAUUUUUUCGAUAUAGUUUACUUUAUGAUCAAAUCAUUUGAUAGAAAAUAUUUUAAACUAUCUAUAUCAAUAUCAACAUCCUUAAUCUUGAAUUUAAAAAUUCUAUCCUCAAAUUUUAAAGUUUAUUCAAUUUCAACCGUUCAUUUUGAUAUGCUUUACUUACUAAGUAAACAAUGUCGAAAAAAAUUAAAAUUUUAUUUUUUAGAACUUCAUAAAUUCUAGAUUAUAUAUAACAGUGUGGAUCAUUGAUUUGAACAUUUUAAGAUCGAAAAUAAGAUUAUAAUACUAGAGUAUCGACACUAUAUAUAGUAUAAUAGCCUAAUUCCGUUUAUAUAUAGGUAUUAUUGGGGGACGGUUUAUAAUUAUCAAGUUUCACUAUCUCACAUUCUCAUCCCAUAUCUGAUAUGAUUAUAUGAUAUAAUGCCCGCACACUGUUGGUGGGCUUAAGACAUAAACUUUCAAUUUAAAUGUGAAAAAAUUAUUUAUCUAAGGCAGAUGGAAUGGUAGACCGAGCACAUUUGUUCUAGUGUACGUUAACAUUUAUUGUUUCCGAAAACAAAGAAUAUUUUGGUACAAGAUAAAACAAUUGUAAAUAUGUAUUUGGAUACAUUCGAAGAUAUUUUAGAAGAUAUUCUUCGUAGCGUUUAGAUAAAAAAUCUAGAACAAUAUUUAAAUAUAUUUUUAAAAAUAAAAUAAUUAAUUUAUAUUAGUAUAUUUUAUAUAAAAUUAUUUCAUAUAGUAAUUUAUAAUAUAAUAUUUUAUGUAAUAAUUUAAUUUAAAAUAGCAUAUUUAUGUUAAUAUAUAUAAUAAUUUAUUUUCUAUAAUAAUUUAUUUUAUAUAAUUUAUUUAUAAUAUAUGUAAGGAAUAAAGUAUAAUACUAACAAUAUCCUUAUAAUUUUAAUUAAUAAUAUUAUAAAUUUUAAUACAAAUUAAAAAUAUUUGUAAUAUAUGAAAAAUGAUUUUAUAUAUAAAAUACUUAAUAUUAAAUAAAAUAAUUAAAUAUUAAUAAAUAAAUAAUAAAACUUAAUAAAAUAAAUAAUAUAUCAAAUUUAAUUAAUUUAUAUUAUAUAAUAAAAUUUAAGUAUAAAUAUAUUAUCAUAAAAAUAUUAAUAUAUUUAUNAUAUAUAUAUAUAAAGAGAAGAACAAAGUUGUGUUUAGUUUUCCUUCGAACCAUUUUUAACGGAUUGUUCCAGAAUAACCUGCUUUUAGCGGAACAACCCAUUCUCUUUAGUUCUUCCAUCGGUUGGUUAUAAAUUGGAGGAUAUACCGUCUUGUUCCAGAAUAUCUCCGAUACCAAAUACAGCCUAGAGGAAUAGUAAUGUAUUUCCUAUUCAAACUUUGGUUCCUAGGAGGAGAACUUUGUGGAAAAAAUGGAUUACUAUAAAAGGUACUAUGAAACUUUUUGAAAGAUUCAAGACAUGAAAAUUAAUUUUAAAAAAUGGAAUAAUGAGGUUAGAAGACUAUUGGAAUUUUAACUUAGGGCGUCCUAAACUGCUAAGUAGAUUAAAUUCUGAUGGCAUACCAUGUUAGACCGUCAAUUAAUUGAUUAUUUCUAAUAACUUAGGCUUUUAUUGAUAAUUAGUUGUUUUACAAAAUUAAGCUGAUUUAAUUACUAUAUUAUAGUCAACACUUCUUACCGCAUGUGCCUUGUUGUUUGACUUCUGUCACUGCAUCAUAGUCCCUCCAAUCUAUACUAUCGGGCACUGCGGACAUGUUUACAUCCUCAAAGGACGUCAAGGGCGCCUCUUGCUUCACGUUUAGGGGGAUAGAAGCACUGGUGUACUUACUCAGAAAUUCAUCAAAUGUCAUAUCAGCAAAUUGGUUGGUGCCGAGAGUGUACGAGUUUCCGCUCCGAUUAUUGAAGGUUUCAAUAUAGUUCACGUUAUCCUGAAAUAUCUGAAACCGCCGCCACUUCUCCGCAUCAUCUGCAUAAACACGGCCGAACCGAGCCAUCCAUUCUUCGAACCUCUGCAUCAUGGGAUGACUAGGAGAAGUUGCCCGGGGCGAAGCCCACAUCAGAGAAACAACCAUGUAAAAAAACAAGAGUAGAUAUUUGGAACCCAUGUGUAGCAGUACUAAUAAUAGCAGCUGCACUUGGAAGGGAGACUAUUUAUAUGAUCUAGCUUUCGUUGUGAGGAUGAGCUUCUCGCAUCGAGCUUAUAUAUAUAUAUAUAUAUACACUCAUAUAUAUAGAAGUGCGCGAUUGCUACAUGGAGUAUUAGUGGGAGAUAGAUGUGGACCAUUAUCGAAGGAAAAUAAUUGCCUUUCCUGUUUAAUAAUUAGUUGAGGGAUCCAACACUAGCUUGAUAGGUAAUUAGAAUUAGAUAGGUACAUUAAUUCAUAUCCGUUUUUAUUAACGUAAAGCUAUAUAUAGAUCCAUGGUUCGUACCCUCAAAUCAAUCUUUAAAAAUAAGGAUUGAACCCAGUUCUUAAAUUAUUGUCUAAUUCUAGACUUAUUAGAUAGCAUUCUAUUUUGAAGGAUCAAUUUCUUGUAUACUCCUGUAAGGACUGAGCCCUUGAUGAUUAAUAUCUAAGGUCUCAAAUUCGAACUUUAGUUAUUUUAUAUUUCUAGCAGAGUACAUUUCUAUAAAGCUAAACGAAGCUGAUAACUUGUUACCAUUCACUUUCUCAAAAAAAAAAAAAAAAAAGAAGAGAAAACUAAAAGGUUACUAAUAAGAUAAUAGCAGUAAUAAUAGUACAAGGAAAUGUAUAGAGUUCCUCUUGAUCAAUUAUUAGCUAUGACAAAUGAAUGAUUGGAUCAUUGAGGAAAAAAAAAANAUAUAUAUAUAUAUAUAUAUAUAUAUAUAUAUAUAAUGAAAACUCUAUUCAAACAUAUAUUUUUGGGAUGUAUGAUAUACACCUAUUCUUUCUAAGGUGCUAGUAGAAUCCAUUCCAUCUUUAAAAUGGAUGGGUGUAUAUCAUACAUCCUAAAUAGGGAUGUAUGUUUAGUAUUACUCUUUUGAAAUAUUUCUAGCCCCAUCAAUUGAGUUUACAUAUUUUAACUUUUAAGUUGAGUUAUCAUUUUAGCAAAAUAUUUUAAGAAUUUUCAGAAUUUUUCAAUAUUUCCAUGAAAUUUUAUAAUCUCAAUUACUUUUUAAAAUUAGUAUAAUUAAUUGCUAUAUAUCUGAUAGAGUGCUUUUUUAAAUUAAAUUCAUUUUUUUAGUUAAAUAACUAGGAAUUUUUAAAGUGAAAAUAUAAGAUGGCAAUUUUAAAAUGUCUUAUAUACAUUUGAGGAGGCCUCCGUUCAUCCAUUUAGUGGGUAGGCCUCCGUGCAUUUUUCUCAUUUAAUGAAAAUUUGAACUGAAAUUAUACUUAGAUAUUCUUGCCAUAACAACAUUCUAAAAAAAAAGAAAAUGUAUUUUGAUAUAGUUCCGACACAGACUUUGAAAAAAUAAAAAAAUUGACAAUUUUAUUGGUAGAUGUGAUGCGUUUGUAAAUUUAACGGUAUAAAAUAAUUCAAAUCUGAUGAAAUUUUUAUAGAAAAUUUUUUUCACUAUUUAGAGUAAGAUCAAUACCUCUAAUCUUAAAUUCAAAUCUUUUGUCAUCAUUUUUUAUGAGAUUUUUAUUUUCAAUCAUUAACUUUUAGACUACUCAUUUGAUAGGUAAUGAUGCCAAAAAAUUAUGAAAUUUAGCUUCAAAAUACUUUAAAUAAUGUAGAUCAACUCGAGCAGAGCCGAUCGUUGAUUUGGAAGCCGCACCAUUAAAAAUAACUUGGUAGCACGGAGGUCUCCAUGCUACCGAUAGUAUACCAGCCUUGCUUUCUUUCUCUCUCUAUAUAUAUAUAUAUAGAGAGAGAGAGAGAGUCCAGUUGUGAUACUAUCGAUAGCACCAAGGACUUAGUGCUAUUGAGUUUUCUACCGUUAAAUUUAACCGUUUGGUUAUUUUUACUCAUUAGAUUAUACUAUUCAAUCAACCACCCACUCAACUCUAGGGGACCCACAUCAUCCUAACCGCAUAUUUCUCAAUCCAAUGGCUAAAAAACUAAUAACACCAAUAACUUUGUGCUAUUGAUAGUGUUCCAGCCUAAUUUUAUCAAUAACAUUAAAUUAUUGGUGUUAUUAAAUUUUCAGUUAUUGAAUGAAAAAAAUAUACGGUUAUGAUGAUGCGGGCUCCUCGAGAAUUGAGUGAGUAAUUAGUGAGUUGUUAGUUGAGUUAUUAGUUGAAUCGGUCAAACUGGAAGCCACGAGGAACACGAACCACUUAAGCACGCAGAAUACAUAACGCACACAUCCAAACAAGUUAACUCGAUCUCCACGCACACGUCGACGUUAUUUAGUAGCUGUCGAGUUUAUCGUGUCGCGAGCAGAUCGAUCGAUCACUUCAUAUAUAGCUGAAUUAUACAUCGCUUCGAUCUGAAUUAUACAGCGCUUAUGCCAUCAGAUCCCACGUCGGAGAGUUCGAGAGGAGUCGAGUUGAUAAUCGGGAUGAGCGGCCACUCGGCAAUACCACAUAAUCCUUCAACUGCAGCGACAUCUCUUUCCAAACGCCCGAACCCCUUUUCGCCCCAGUUUUUUCCCCACGAGUUCUUCAGUAUCCAAUAUUUAUCUCCGGUAUUACUGUCCUCGCCAUAACCUAUAAUGGUGACGGCAUGGUUGACUGCAGUUCCGCAGGGUCCCUUAAAGACGCCACCGUUGUAAAGCUGGAAGUCCUUGGUGGCUUCGACAGCGGAGGCUACCGGUUGCUUCGACACGGCAACCUUAAGACUGGCUUCGUUCUUUCUAGGCAGAAACUUGUAAGCGUCGAUUUCAGCUGCAUUCGGCACGAUGUUGGACUCGCAAUUGCCUAGAACUCCUGUAUAGGGAUAGGAAGACUCGGUUGUCACACCUCCAUUCCGUAUGAUGAAUUUGUAGGCUUGGUGCACCCAGCCUCCACCUUUGCACCCGCUGCUAACGCUGCAAUCCAGAACCUCCUGCUCUGAUAGGGAUAUCAGUGCUCCUUUUUUGAUCUUGUAGAUUCCUUCCACCGUCGCAAUCGCAGUGAACGCCCAGCAAGAUUCUAUUCGAAAGAAAAAUUUUACUAUAGCAUUUGCAAGAGAAAUAUAUAUAUAUAUAUGUCCGUUAUUAAUUAAUUAAGGCAAAAGAAAUUAUAUAUGUCAUUUAUUAAGACAUAAUUAUGUAAUAAUAUUUAAAUCUAUAAGAAACCCGUAUUAUUGUUAUCAUUAAAUUAUUAUUGUUGAGUACAAAUCGUACUAAUAAAUAAUAAUUUUUUUUUAUUGUUGUUGUUAUUAGUACUUAGCACAAUAAAAUAAUUUGUAUUAAAAUAUAUAAUAUGUUAAAAUAUAUUAUCUUUUAUUAUAUUUAUACAUUUAUAUAGAGCUAAGCUCCUAUACUAUCUAUAAUACCAGUCUUUGAUACUAUAGUCUUGUUUUCAACUUUAAAAUAUUCGAAUUAAUGAUUCAUGCCGUUAAAAACUGAUUUAGGGUAUUUGAAGUUUUUGAAAUAAAAUUUUAUAUUUUUUCGAUGGAUUGCUUAUGAUCAAAUCAUUUAAAAAUUAUCAAUUUUCAAUGACUAGUAUGGUGAGUUUGUAAUAUAUAUAACGGUAUAAAAAAUUCUAAAUUUAUUCAUAUUUUUAUAAAAAAAAUAUUUUAAACUAUUUAGAUCAAGAUCAACAUACUUAAUCUUGAAUUUAAAAGUUCUAUCCUCAAAUUUUAAAAUUUGUUCAAUUUUAACUGUUCAUUUUAAUAUGAUUUACUUACUAAGUAAAUAAUGUCAAAAAAAGUUAAAAUUUUAUUUUUAAGAAUUUUAUAUAUUCUAAAUCAUAUGUUACGUUGUGGAUUAUUGAUUUGAACAUCUUAAGAUCGAAAAUAAAACUAUAAUACCGGAAGCAUCGAUACUAUAUAUAGUAUAAUAGCCUAAUUUCGUUUAUAUAUAUAUAUAUAUAUAUAUAUACUAUUGGGGACGGUUUAUAAUUAUCACAUUUGACGGUCUCACCCCAUAUCUGAUAUGAAGACACAUGAUAUAUGAUAUAAUGCCCGCACACUGUUGUUGGGCUUAAGACAUAAACUUUCAAUUUAAAUGUGAAAAAAUUAUUUAUCUAAGGCAGAUGGAAUGGUAGGCCGAGCACAUUUUGUUCUUGUGUUAACAAGGGCUGCGUUUGGUUGAAAAACUAAAUUUUGUAAAACAACUUUUGUUAUUCCCGAGAACAAAAAAUAUUUCGGUAAAAGAUAGAAUCAUUGUAAAUUUGUGUUUGGAUACAUUUGGAGAUAUUUUAAAAAAUAUUCUUACUAGCGUUUGAAUAAAAAGUCUAGAAUAAUAUUUAAAUAUAUUUUUAAAAAUAAAAUAAUUAAUUUAUAUUAGUAUAUUUUAUAUAAAACUAUUUCAUAUAUUAAUUUAUAAUAUAAUAUUUUAUGUAAUAAUUUAAUUUAAAAUAGCAUAUUUAUUUUAAUAUAUAUAAUAAUUUAUUUUAUAUAAUUUAUUCAUAAUAUAUGUUAUGAAUAAAGUAUAAUACUAAUAAUAUCCUUAUAAUUUUAAUUACUAAUAUCAUAAAUUUCAAUACAAAUUAAUAAAUAUAUAUCAUGUAUGAAAAAUUGAUUAUAUAUACAAUACUUAAUAUUAAAUAAAAUAACAAAAUAUUAAUAUAUAAACGAUAAAACAAAAUAAAAUAAAUAAUAUAUCAAAUUUAAUUAAUUUAUAUUAUAUAAUAAAAUUUAGGUAUAAAUAUAUCAUCAUAAACAUAAUAUUUAUAUUAAUAUAUUUAUUUAUAUAUCUAUUUAUCUAAUAAAAUAAAAAGAAGAACAAAUUUAUUCUUAGUUUCCCUUCGAACAAUUUUUAACAAGUUGUCCCAGAACAAUCCGUUUUGAUCGGAACAACCCCUUUUUUUCAUCUUUCACCAUUUGGUUACAAAUUAGGAAUAUGCCGUUUUAUUCCAGAAAAUCUCCAGUGCAAACGCAGCCUAGCUAGAGGAAUAGUAAUAAAUUUCCUAUUCAAACUUUGGUUCCUACGAGAGAGAUCUUUGUGAAAAAAAUGGAUUACUAUAAAAGGUACUAAUAAAAUGUUACUUUAAAUACCAUACUUUCUAAACUUUCUUCUAUUUAGGCUCGAAAUUUAUUUGACACAUCCAAGACACAAAAAUUAAUAAAAUGAAAGAGAAUUAAAUGAGGUUAAUUAGAAGCCUACUGGAAUUUUAACUCAGGGCCUCCUAAACUGCUAAUUAAGUAGAUUUAGUACUCAUGGCGUACAUGUUAGACAGUUAAUUAAUUGAUUAUUUCUAAAAACUUAGGCUUUUAUUGAUAAUUAGUUGUUUUACAAAAUUAAGCUGCUUUAAUUAAUAUAUUAUAGUCAACACUGCUUACCGCAUGUGCCUUGUUGUUUGACUUCUGUCACAGCAUCAAAGUCCCUCCAAUCUAUACUGUCGGGCACCGCGGACACGUUUACAUCCUCAAAGGACGUCAAGGGCGCCUCUUGCUUCAAGUCUAGGGGGAUAGAAGCACCGGUGUACUUACCCAGAAAUUCAUCAAAUGUCAUAUCAGCAAAUUGGUUAGUGCCGAGAGUGUACGAGUUUCCGCUUCGAUUAUUGAAGGUUUCGAUAUAGUUCACGUUAUCCUGAAAUAUCUGAAACCGCCGCCACUUCUCAGCAUCAUUUGUAUAAACACGACCGAACCGAGCCAUCCAUUCUUCGAACCUCUGCAUCAUGGGAUGACUAGGAGAAGCUGCCCGGGGCGAAGCCCACAUCAAAGAAACAACCAUGUAAAAGAACAAGAGAAGAUAUUUGGAACCCAUGUGUAGGAGAAGCUGCACUUGGAAUGGAGACUAUAUGAUCUAAUGAGGAUACGCUUCUCGUAUCGAGCUUAUACAUAUAUAUAGAAGUGCGUGAUUGCUACAUGGAGUAUUAAUUAGUGGGAGAUCGAUGCUGUGGAACAUUAUUGAAGGAAAAUAAUCGCCUUUCCUCUCUAAUAAUUAGUUUGAGGGAUCCAACGCUAGCUAGAUAUAGGUAAUUUAGAAUUAGAUAGGUACAUUCAUAUCCUUUUAUUAUCGUAAAAGCUAUAUCUAGAUCGAUGGUUCGUACCCUCAAAUCAAUCUUUAAAAAUAAGGAUUGCACCCAAUUCUUAAAUUAUUGUCUAAUUCUAGACUUAUUAGACAGCAUUAUAUUUUGAAGGAUCAAUUUCUUUAUAUACUCCUGUAAUGACUGAGCCCUUGAUGAUUAAUAUCUAAGAUCUCAAAUUCGAACUUUAGUUAUUUUAUAUUUCUCGCAGAGUUCAUUUCUAUAAAACAAAACGAAACUCAUAGCUUCCGACCCUUCUCUUUCUCAUAAACAAAAAAAAAAAGAAAAACAAAAAAAAAAACCUAAAAUGCUACAGAUAAAUAGUCGCAGUAAUAAUAGUACAAAGAAAUGUGAGAGUCUCUUGAUCAAUUAUGGCUAAUGACAAAUGAAAGAUUGGAUCAUUGAGGGAAAAAAUAUAUUGAAUCCCCUCCAUCAAUUAUAGACCAUUGCUCUUUGAUAAUAUAUAUAUAUAUAUAUAUAUAUAUAUAUAUAUAUAUAUAUAUAUAUAUAUAUAUAUAAUAAAAACUCUAUUCAUACAUUUUUUUUUAGGGUGUAUGAUGUACACCUACCCUUUCUAGGAUGCUAGUAGAAUCCAUCCCAUCUUAGAAUGGGUGGAUGUAUAUCAUACAUCCACACUUAGAAUAGGUGCGUGUAUAUCAUACAUGCUAAAUAGGGAUGUAUAUUUAGUAGGGAAAAUUUCAUAGAUGCCCCUGUAGGAGACCGAAAUUUCAUCAAUAGCCCUCUAAAAUUCAAAAUAUCAUGAAUGCCCUUCUAAAUUUAAAAAAUAUUCAUGAAUACCCCUACAGGUUAUGUACCGUUAGAAUCUAACGGAAUAAGGUGUAAAUACCAUUUCUGCCCUUGCACUGCUCCUUAACUAUAGGGAUAAUAUCACAGAUGCCCUUCUAGAAAUAGUUAAUUUCAUUAAUACCUAUCAAAAAUUGAUAAUAACACGAAUACUCUCCAACAUAUUAAAAAUUAUCACAAAUGCCCUCCACUAGUUAAUAUCCGUUAAAAUCAUUAAAUUUUUAAAAUAUCAUUUUUACCCUUUAUCUCUUAUCAAUAAUAGAAACACUAAUAGGUAUUUCAAGAUAAUUUUUAUAAAUCUAAAUUUGACUAUUUAAUAUAUAAAUAUUAAAUUAAUUUUUAAAUGAUAUAUAAAAAUUGUAUUUUAUAUAUAGUAUGUUUUUAUAUGGUUUUGGUUUUGUUUUUGGCUUCGAGUUUUGGUUCAAAUUCGAUUUGGAUAUAGACCAAAAUCAUAACUAAAUUUAAAUACGAUGAGAGUUCAUUUUUUUGUACUUAUAAUUGAAACUAUCCCGCUCAGCAUCGAUUAAGCUCAUCUCAUUCAAAAUUGAGUUCACAUAAAAUUGUAUACCUAUAUCAUUUCACAUUCCUAAUCAGUAAUAGUAAUUUGAAAUAAAUUAUAGAUUUUAUGUUUUUCCUAUUUAAUCAAAAAUAAAUUACAUAACUAUAUCAAUAUGCAUGCUUUUUUUAUUGAUUUUUUUAAAAAAAGAGAAUUUUGUUCAAAAGCUUAAAUAUAUUAUAUUUCAGUUUUUAAUGCAUUUAAUGCAGAUAAAAUUAUUGAGAAUAAUUUAAGCUUCCAAAAUUAAAGAAAGAUCGAAAAAUCCUCAACAUUUACUUUUAUUUAAUUUUUUAUACAUAGUUAAAAUAAAUGGAGCCACUAGAUUUGGUGAAAUCAUAAAAACCUUGAUAAAAUUUUUAUUUUUCAUACACUAAAAUUAGUUAAUUUUUUAAAAAACCAAAAGUUAAUGGGAUGUUAACUUAAAAAAAUAAAAGUUGAGGGAGCCAUUGAGGGGCUCUCCAUACAUUUUUAUUAAAGAGAUAGGUGAGGGUAAAUAGGUCAUUUUAAAAGUUAACCCAUCUUUAACCAUUAAACAACUAUGGUAAAGGUAAUAUAACUAACUGUAGGGGUAUGGGUGAUACUUUUUUAUAUUUAUAGGGGCAUAUAUGAUAUUUUAAACUUUAUAGUGGCAUCCAUGAUAUUUUCAGCUUUAGGAGGGUUAUCUAUGAAAUUGCCCCUAUUUAGUAUUACUCUUUUGAAAUAUUUCUAGCCCCAUCAAUUGAGUUUACAUACUUUAAUUUUAAGUUGAGUUAUCGUUUUAGUAAAAUAUUAAUUGUAAGAAUUUUCAGAAUUUUUAAAUAGUUCCAUCAAAUUUAUAAUCUCAAUUACUUUUUAAAAUUAGUAUAAUUAAUUGCUACAUAUCUGAUAGAGUGCUUGUUUAAAUUAGAUUCAUUUUUUUACUUAAAUAACUAGGAAUUUUUAAAGUGAAAAAUAUAAGUUGGCAAUUUUAAAAUGUCUUAUAUACAUUUGAGGAGGCCUCCGUUCAUCCAUUUAGUGGGUAGGCCUCCGUGCAUUUUUCUCAUUUAAUGAAAAUUUGAACUGAAAUUAUACUUAGAUAUUCUUGCGAUAACAACAUUCUAAAAAAAAAAUGUAUUUUGAUAUAGAUCUGAUACAGACUUUGGAAAAAAAAAAAAAAAAAAAGGUUCUUUGAUAUACUUAUCAUAUCAAUAUUCCUAAACAAUAAAUAAAUAAAUAAAGAUAUAGGUCCGAUAACAUAUUUGCUUACCUUUUUUUGUUACUGAAAAAUUUUCUGUUGGUCUUUGCAUUCAGAGAAAAAAAUGCUUAGUGUAUGUAUAUAUAUACACUAGAGUUAUUAUGUAUCCAGAAAAAUAAAGAUCUAGAAUUUGGUAAUUUUAAUUUUUUUGCCCUUAGAUCAAGAAUUAUAGAGUUGGGAUUAUAGUGGUCCCACCCUAAGAUUUAAUGGUCUCCUUAGCGGAAUAAUAUUAAUUCAAGAGUUAGAAAUGGUCAAAAUUUUGAUUAAAGAUUAAAAAUUGAAACCACCAAAUUAAUGAGUCCAUUCUCCCAACCCUUUAAAUUGUUAUGAUUGUGUCCUUAACCUCUUACACAAUUUUCAAUUGAGUACUUUCGCUCUCAAUUGUUGCAAUUAGAUCCUUAACUUGUUUCAUUAGUAUAUAUACAUGGUAUGAUUCAUGCAGUCGAAGUACUUGUUAAAAAAUAGGUCUUAUAAACGCUUAAAAUGUAGUGGAGAGGCAGGUUUAAAUUAUAUCUAGAUUUAACAUUUCAUUUAAAAUCAAAUCUGAAACUCAUAAUAGUUCAUAACAUGUCGUCACAAACUUUUAGCAGGUCCAAGACAAGAACUAAGUUAAAAUGGGUGGAAUUUUGAUUCUUUUUCUCCAAAUAACACAACAAUUUUUUGUGUAAAAGCGUCCGCCGCUCCAUAUAUAGCAUAUCUCAUCGGAAAAAAAAAAACAUUUUUAAAUUUCUUUUUUGUAUGCAUAUAUAGUAUAAGAUGAUAAGUAUUUUAAUUUUUGAUGAAUACGUACAAUUUUUUAAAAUAAUAUAAAUAAGUUAUAUAUGGUGAAUAAUUUAUUUUUAAAAAAUAUAUGAACUAUUAAUAAAAUAUAUUAACUUUUAUUCAUUUGAAAAAUAUAAUAAUAUUUUAGCAAAAUUAAUAUUUUAUAUAUAAAAAAAUAUAUUAUAUUAUAUUAAUAAUAUUAUAUUUUAUUAUAAGCGGUGUCUUGCUAUACCGCAUCCGUAUCUUACUUUCCAAAAACUGCUAAGUCAUCGUGUCCGAACUGUGUCGUAUUUCGUAUUUUGUGUCCGUGUUUCGUGUAUGUACCGGUGAUGCCUAACUAGCUAGCUAGCUAGCUAGAGAAAAUUGUCGAGCUUUAAUCAUCUAUAUAUAUAUAUAUAUAUAUAUAUAUAUAUAUAUAUAUAUAUAUAUAUAUAUAUAUAUAUAUAUAUAUAUAUAUAUAUAUAUCACACACGUAGUUCAUCACAGUAGUAAUAAGCAGCACACUUUUAAUUACUACUUGAUAUUCUUACUAGCUAGUCAAAGCAGAAUACACAUCGAUCACAACAUACAUAUACAAAUGGCUUGAUCAUAAUACGAUAAUUAUUCAAACUUGCGAAGGAACGCGACAAGGUGAGGAUCACUUGAUCAAAUUGGUAAUAAACGACGAGGAACUCGAAGCACCUCCUUAAUUAUUUGUUAUAUAUUGGUAGGGAACGAUCGCUUCAUAUAUAUAUAUAGCUAAAUCGCAGCUUCAACCUUAUGCAGAGCUUCUUAGGCUAUCAGAUCCAACAACGGCGCCGGCGAGUUCCGUAGGAGCAGUUGAUGUGAUAGUUGGGUAAACUAGCUGCUUGGUAAGACCGCAUAAUCCAGAUUUGGAAGCGACAUCUUUUUCCAAUCUCAUGAAGCCAUUUUCUCCCCAGUUUGUACCCCAUGAAUUCUUUAUUAUCCAAUACUUAUCUCCAGUACUGUUGUCCGCUCCAUAACCUAUGACAGUGAUGGCAUGGUUAAUCAUAACUCCGCAAGGUCCUUUAUAGAUACCGCCGGUGUAAAGCUGGAAUUUCUUAUCUGCUUCGACGGCCGCGGCAACCGGUUGCUGCGACACGGCGUUCAUAAGUUUACUUUCACUGCGAGGCAGAAACUUGUAACCGGUUAUAGAAGCUGCAUUGGGCACGAUGUUGGAAGCGCAAUUGCCUUGAACUUCUUUGUAGGGAUACGAAGCUUCCGUUGCCACGCCUUUGUUAGAUAUGAUGAAAUCGUAGCCUUUGUGCACCCAGCCUCCGCCUUUGCACCCAUAACUAACGCUGCAAUCCAGAACCUCCUGCUCUGAUAGAGGUAUCAGCGAUCCUUUUUUAAUCUUGUAGAUUCCUUCCACCGUCGCAAUUGCAGUGAAUGCCCAGCAGGAUUCUACUCCGAAAACAAAGAUUCAAUUAAUUGUUUAGCAUUUACAAUAGAAAUUAUGUCCGUUAUUAAGACAUAAUUAUGAAAACAUCCAAACAAUAGGUUUUCUUUUUCUCUUUCUUUUUUUUCCAAGAGAAAGGUAGCAAGUUGCCUCCUUCCUAUAUUUUUUUAAAAUAAAUAAAUUUAGAAAGAAAUUUAAAAUAAUUAAAUUUUGAAUUUGGAAUCUCGAAUAUCAACCGGCAAACUUUUAGCCAACUGCACUAGAUACGAUCGGCAGCAAAACUAAUUAGAAGUUAUUACGAAACCAAAACGUACUGCUUCUAACAAUCUCCUAAGAAGUGAAUUCCCACAGCAGAUAUAUAUCCUCUUGAAAAGAGGAUGGCCAAGUGAUUAACAUUGCGGUUUAUAAUAAAUUAAUUUUACAAUAAUUUAUUUUUAUUAAAUUAUAUUUUAUAUCAAAUUCAAUUAUUAUAUUUUUUUUUCACUAUCCUCUGCUAAUUAAUCAAACACAAUUUUAACUAUUUCUGAGAAUAGCAACAUUACAAACUAAAUAUAAUUUUAUUUUUAUUCUUGAUUAGCUCUUGAAUAGUAAAUUAUUCCAGAGAUAAAAAAAAUUUAUUCUAAUGUUUGUUAUCCUGAAACCAAAUAGGACCUUAUUAGUGCAUUCCAAUAGCAUAGACUACUGUUUUGUAAUUAGGUACACUUCUUUUUUCGGGGCGUGCGCGCUUAUUUUAGGUCUAUUUUUAGGUCAAAAAAUGAACUUCUUAAUGAUAUAUACUUGGUUGUAUUCACCAGUAUCAGCAAACAGUAACUUAUUGCACAGCAAGGCUAACUUCAUUUCAUGUGUUUCAAGUACCUUUUCGAGGAUAUUUAUUCACGUGCUUAUUUAAUUUCAAUGCUAGCUACAGUGAAGGUCCGUACUAUUCAAAACUUUUCUUGGGAAAAGGAACUCUAAAAGGAGACCAUAUAAAUUUGUUUUACUGAUAAUGCAUGAAAUGGUCUCUCUUUUUUUUUUUCCAAAAUAAACACGUCCAAUUAAUUCUUAUCACGUACGCUACUACCCUGUGACACUUCAUUUCGUUCGAGUACAAGCAAGAAUUAUUUAUUUUAGAAAUAGAUACAAAUUUUGAAAUUUACGUUUAGAUAAAAAUUGAGUUGUUCUCGAAAAUAAAAAAAAAAUAACGUUUGAAUAGAUAAGAUACAAUAAAAAAAAUAUUGAAUAGUUAUAAAUAGAAAAUAAUGAUAUUAUUCCUUAUAUUAUAUUUAAAUUAAUAUUUUAUAUUUUAUAUUUAAAUUUUUAAAUUUAAAUAUAUAAUUUUUAAAUUUUUAAAUUUAAAUUUAAAAUUUAAAAUCUCGAAUUCGAGAGUUUGAGCUAGCUAGGAGGGUCUUGUUCUAAUGUUAACUGUUAAAUAUAAAAAUGUUUAAACACCGUUCUCUAACAAUUUAAGCUUUUGAGUACAACGGUUGUUUCACAUGCUAUUAAUUUCCUUCCAUUUAAUUCAAGCCCACGUCAUGGCCGAUUAAAAAGUCUCGAGCCCAGACGUGAGGGGGACUACUAUGCUAUCGAAAGCACGGAGCCUUCCGUGCUUCCAGCUCGUUUUCGAUGUUGCAACUUUCGAAUUGUCGAUCGGCUCCGUUAAACUUGAUCUAGAGUAUUUGGAGUAUCUAGAAAAUAAAUUUUAUUAUUUUUUGAUAUCAUUUGCCUAGUGAUCGAAUGGGCUCAAAAUCAACAAAUUUCAAUGGCCGUAGUGUGCUGUUUGCAAGUUUAACGGUGUAGAAAUAUCUAAAUCACGUGAAAUUUUGAUAGAAAAUUCUUUAUACUAUAUAAAACAAGAUCAAUAUCUUUGAUUUAAAAUUUUAAUGUCAUAUUAUUACAUUUUGUAAGAUUUUUAUUUUCAGCCGUUGAUUUUGAGCCCCUUCGUUCACUAGGCAAAUGAUAUCGUAAAAUCAUAAAAUUUAUUUUCUAGGUACUUCAAAUACUCUAGAUCAAGUUUAACGGAGCCGAUCGACGAUUCGAAAGUCGCAACAUCGAAAACGAGCUAGAAGCACGGAAGGCUCCGUGCUUCCGAUAGCAUAGUAGCCUCACUCUAUAUAUAUAUAUAUAUAUAUAUAUAUAUAUAUAUAUAAAUAAUACGUACUUAACACUUCUUACGGUGUAUGCCUUAUUGUUUGACUUUUAUGAUAACAUUAUAGUCCCUCCAAUCUAUACUUUGAGGCACUGAGGACAUUUUACGUUCUCAAAUUAUGUCAACGGCGCCUCUGACUUCAUAUUUAGAGGGACUGAUUUUAUGUUCAUGGCAUGUCAUGUUAGAAUGUCGCUUAUCUUUAAAAACUUAAACUUACAUGUGAAACUAGCUAGUUGCUUUACAAAAGGACACUGCUUUAAUAUAUAUUACAUUUAACAUUUCUUACCGCAUCACUUAAUGAAUGAAGCAGGUAGCAGCUUGCUACCUAUUUCUUAAAAAAAAAUACUUCUUACCGCAUGUGCCUUGUUGUUUGACUUCAGUGACGGCACCAUGGUCCCUCCAAUCUAUGCUCUUAGGCACCGCGGAUAUAUUUACAUCCUCAAAUGAUGUCAAGGUCAAUGUCUCUGACUUCAUUUUUAGAGGGACAGAUGUACCGGUGUACUUAGCUAGAAAUUCAUCAAAUGUCAUAUCAGCAAAUUGGUUAGUGCCGAGAGUGUACGAGUUCCCGCUUCGAUUAUUGAAGGAUUCGAUAUAGUUCACGUUAUCCUGAAAUAUCUGGAACCGCCGCCACUUCUCCGCAUCGUCUGUAUAAACACGAUGGAACCGAGCCAUCCAUUCUUCGAACCUCCGCAUCAUGGGAUCAUCCGGUAGGCUACGAGAAGCUGCCCGUGGCGAAGCCAACAUUACAGAAACAACCAUGUAAAAUAACACAAGUUGAAAUUUGGAACCCAUAAUAUCACCUACACUUUGGAAUGGUUUAAUUUCGUUUGUGUGGAUGAGCUCCUUGCCAAAUCGAGCUUAUAUAGAAGUUCGUGACUACAACUAGAAGCAUUAGUAGGAGAUAGAUGCUGUGGAAAAUAAUGGAAGAAAAAUAAUCGAAGGGCCUAUUGAAAGCGGCCUUUUGGCCGGUGACAAUUAGUUGAGGAAUCCAAAGCUCGGUAGAUAUUUAACAAUUAGAUACCUGGAUCAAAAUCCUUUGAACAAUUAGAUGUUUACUGCUAUAAGCUAGAACUUAUAGAAACAGCACAACGGUAAAAUUUUCAAUGAGUUGUAUAGAUCAUCUGAAAAAAAAGCUCGAGUAUCUCACAAUAAUGCACUAAUGUUGUUUAAAUUUUUGUAACCGGAGGUUUCAAUUUGGGAGAUCAAUUAUUACUGUGGGCCUACUCAGCCCUAGUAAUUAUAACCUAUAUUUGUUUUACACGUAACUUCUAUUAUACAUUCAAUAAAACGUGUAGGUAAUACCCUGUACAUUCCUUUCACAAAAAAAAAAUCACAAAGCUAUAGAUUAUUUUCAAUUCGAUCACAAAACAAGUAAAGAAAUAUGACAAUAUUUGAAACGAAAUCUUUAUGGCCCAAUGCUUGCUCUUGCAAGUAUGAGUAAAUAGAAAUAGAAUUUGUGGCAAAUAAUUGAUUGUUUUAACUGUGUGCGUGCGUGUGUGUAUAUAUAUUGGAUCCCUUAAUCAAUUCUAUACGUUAAAUUAUGUUAUUCUAUCAACUAUCCACUAAAUCUUAGGAGACUACUAUCAUUUCAAACCUACAAUUUUUUAUCUUAAGGGUUAUAAAGUUAGUGGUAAAAAAGUACAAAUAUUAUUAAUAUUAUUCCAACACAAUUAUAUAAAUGUAUACGCAUAAAUUGCACCUUAAUUUCCAUGAUUAGAUUAAUAAUUAUAUAUUGUGAUGAUGUAAUUAUCGACUUUUACAUUCUUGUUCGAUUUUCUCUUCAAGGUGACCGCAAAGCAUUGCUCUUAUGGCUAGUCCUUAAUUCACAUCAAUCAUUAUAAUCAUCUAGCUUCCAUGAUUCAUAAGUUUUUUCGAUCGACCCGACUUUAAUUUUAUGUGUAAUUUAAAAAUUGUUAGUGUUAUUAAUUUAAAAGAUCAAUUUAAUUAAGAAUCUGCUUAUGAAUAGUCUUAAAAUUGAUAACUAUGCUGUGAUGGAUACAGAUUAUGUUUUUUUGAGAAAAAGAUAGCAUACUAUUAAUUUCGUUUAUUAUGUGGAGCGUAGAGCUUAUAAUAAUUGAACCCAUGCGUUAAUGCGUUGUAUCCAAAGUAGGAGAAGGACUAGGUGANUAUAUAUAUAUAUAUAUAUAUAUAUAUAUAUAUAUAUAUAUAGAGGUUGAGUAGUUGAUAGGCGUUUGUCAAUUGGCAGCUGCAUGUGUACCACAAUCUGACCUAAAAUUGAUUUAGGUACAUAAAUAGCUCCUGUAUUGUAAAAGCUCUAUAUAAGGUAAAUUCACAAAGCCCUCUUUUACAUUACCCCACGUCUCAAUUACCUCUUAGUAAUCGAAUUGUUGGUAUAUAUCUUACUACAGAGAUUGCAAACCCACCAUUCUAAAUCACGAUUUCGAAUUGCUCAUUCUGAUAUCCACCGAUUUCUUAUCAGAAUAGAAAAAAGUUGCAAACUGAUGGAGAAUUGAAAAAAAAAGGGGCAUGCACAUAAUUAGAUUAGAAGAGCAUGAGCGAUUCAACAGGAACGAUUCAACUAAUCCUGUGUAGCUGUGCAACUUUCCACAAUAUAUGCCCCAUUAAUUUUAGGUAAUUUUAAAGGAGGCACAUUAAGGUCGAGGGAACUGGUGUCAAUUGCAAGUACUUGGGGGAUUAUCUGGCUUAAACACAACAGGAGUAUUUUUUAGAAAAUGGAGGUAUUGGUGGGAAUAACCAAGAAUUACUAUUCUCGGAUAAAAAAUUAGUGUUUGGGUAUAAAAGGGGGAUAAGGGCCUAUUCCUAUCACUAUGUAGCCUAAUUUACUAUCUAAUUAAAUGAAGCAGUGGCAUGCUACUAUUUCUCAAAAAAAAAAAAAAAAAAAAAAAAAAAUAAAAAAAAAAAAAAAAAAAAAAAAAAAAAAAGGGUAAUUUUUACUGAAACCAAAUUCACCUUCUGUUUCUCUUUUCUCCUUUUCUUUUUCUUUUCUUUUCUCUCGUGUUUUCUUGUAGACUUCCUUAACUGAUGUCGAAACACUGUAUUUUAUUUUUAAUUAAUUGACGAUUUUUUUUUCCUCUUUCCAAAAGGAAAAAAGAAAAGAAUCUUUAAACUAAGAUGUAUGAAUUUGGUUUCAAGGUAAGGAUGAGGAUUAAAAUUUUCAUUAUUUUACCAAAAAGUCUCCACCAUCCUUAUAUUUUUUGAGCAAGAGAAAUAAAAGAAAGUAAACUUUUCUAUAAGUUUUUUGAGAAAUUAACUCAACUAGAAAUGCGAAACAACUAAUUUUUAAAUUUAGAAUCUUUGGUACCAACCAUUAAUUAGUCUCAGAUAUCAAUUAUUAAAUCUUUAACCAAUUUCACUAGAUACAGUCAGUACGUAGUAGUCUCUAUCUGCUUAUUGAUGUGAUGAGAUAGUGUGUUGGAUUAAUAAAGUAAAUUUUGGACGAACCCUGAAUUUUAGCUUGCGGUCGUAGUUUCUACUUAUAGCCUUCUGUGUGUGCGUGUUAAUGUCUAACGUGAGUUGGACCAGAAAUAGAUAAAAAUUAUAGGACUCAGAAGACAAAACCUUCCACUAGGCUUUUCUAGUAUACCAAAGGAACAAAUUAAACGAUCUUAUAUAGCAAUAUGAAUAAACUUCUCCUAUAUAGAUAUAGUCCAUAUUUUUAUCUGUGUUGGAACCCAAUUAAGUAAUUUACAUUAACCUCAUCCUACAAAAUGAGAUAUAAAUAGUUCACAGUAAGUAAACAGCUCACUUCAACUAAUACUUGAUAUUCAUGUCAAAUUAAGCUGAGUACCCUCGCACAAAGUACAAACAGUGGGAUAAUUAAUAAUACAUAUUCAAACUCGGAAUACGAAGCAAGUAACGAGCGAGGGAGAGAACCAUGCACACAACAGCCCUUUUUGUGACUUAAUUACAAGCUUAUACAGGAGCAAACAAGCACUUAAUUAAUUAGAUAGAGCUAGUUAUGCUGUCCGAUCCCGUGUCAGAGAGUUCGGAAUGAGGCAUUGAUGUGAGAGUUGGGUAGAGGGCGUACCGGGCAAUACCACAUAAUCCAGAAAAUGAUCCGGAUUCUCUUUGCAGCCUUAUGUACCCAGCUUCGCCCCAGUUUUGGCCCCAUGAGUUCUUUAUGAUCCAAAAUUUGUCUCCAGUCGUAUCGUCUUCUCCAUAUCCUAUAAUCGUGAUGGCAUGGUUAAUUUUGGUUCCACAAGGUCCUUUAAAGAUACCACCGCGGUAUAACUGGAAGUUCUUAUCGGCAUCGACUGCAGCAGCAACCGGUUGCUGCGACACAGCAUUCAUAAUGCUUCUUUCAUUUUUAGGAAGAAAUUUAUACCCAGUAAUGUAAGCUUCAUUGGGCACGAUAGUGGCGUCGACGCAAGUGCCUAUAACUCCAUUAUAAGGAUAGGAAGGCUCAGUUGUCACUCCUUUAUUAGCUAUGAUGAAAUCGUAUCCUUUUUCCACAAAGCCACCACGUUUGCACCCGUAGCUGUGACUGCAAUCUAGAAUUUGUUGUUCUGACACAUCUGGCAAUAUUCCUUUCUUGAUUUUGUAGAUCCCUUCCACCGUCGCAGCUGCCACAAACGCCCAACAAGAACCUAUAUAUAUAUAUAUAUAUCAAAAGAGAGAUUCAUAUUAGCUUCUACUGGAGAAAUUUGUGGAUUGCUUAAUACCAGAAAACAUUCGAACAAUUGAGCUUUUAUAUAUAGUUUUUCUAUAUAAAACCUAUAUACAUUUGCUAUGAAAAGAGAAAAUUUUCAAUCACUGGUUGUGACGGAAGGUUAAGCUACUAAAGAAUAGUACUCUCAAUCUCAAAAAAAGUAUUUUUUAACCUUUAUUUUCGACACUUCCCUUAAAUUUAGAUUCAAGACAAUUUGGUAGGCCCAAAAACAUGAAAUUGAAUUAAAUUGGAGAAAAUUAAGGAGUACACUGGGAUUUAAAUUUGCGGUCUUUGAUUGUAAUACCAUAUUAAACAAUCAAUUGUCUCUAAAAGCUUAAAAUUUAAGAUUUAGUAGAUGAUUAAUUGGGUGUUUCACAAAAUUAAAGUGCUUUUACAUAUUAUACUGAACAUUUCUUACUGCAUGUGCCCUGUUGCUUCACUUCUGUGACAGCACGAUCAUCCCUCCAAUCAACACUUUGAGGCGCCGAAGACAGGUUUACAUCCUCAAACGACAUCAAGGGCUCCGACUUCUGAUUUGCAGGGACAGAUAAACCAGUGUAUUGAGCCAAAAAUUCAUCAGUCGUCAUAUCAGCAAACUGGUUAACACCGAGAGUGUACGAGUUUCCGCUGCGGUUAUUGAAGGUUUCAACGUAGUUCACAUUGUCUUGAAAUAUCUGAAACCGGCGCAGCUUCUCGACAUCGUCAUUGUAAACUCGACCGUUCUCGGCCAUCCAUUCUUCAAACCGCUUCAUCAUGGGAUCACUGGGUUGGCCGCGAGAAGCUGCCGAUGGCGAAGCCCACAUCAAACAAACCAUCAGGUGAAAAACCAGUAGGUGAAACUUAAAAGCCAUAGCACUAAAUAGCAGCAAUACUUUGGAAUGGAAACUACAAGAGUUUUCGUUGGUGAGGAUGAGGUCCUCGCAUAGAGUUUUUAUAGAAGUACGUGGCUACUUGUUGGAGCAUUAUGAAUACAGAUCGAUGCUGGGGAAAAUAAUUCGAGGAAAAUAAUCGAAGGGGCUGUAGUUGAGGGAUCCAAAGCUGGGUUGAUCCAAAUCCUUUUAUAAUAUCAUAAUUUUACGUAUAUGCCAUUAUUAGUGCACAACCGACCGAACGGGUUGGUGAGUUACCAAAUUAAAGAAAAGUAGAAUCUGUUCAAAUUAUUUCAGGACCGUUCCCAUUAUUCAGCGUACGUAACUAAUUAUAUAUGUGGUAUGCUCACAAGUGAUUGAAAUUAUUAAGCAAACAAUGUAUUGAGAACCCCUCAUACAUGAAUUAUGAGAUAGUGUGUUGGAUUAAUAAAGUAAAUUUUGGACGAACCCUGAAUUUUAGCUUGCGUACGUAGUUUCUACUUAUAGCCUUCUGUGUGUGUGUGUUAAUAUCUAACGUGAGUUAGACCAGAAAUAGAUAAAAAUUAUAGGACUCAGAAGACAAAACCUUCCACUAGGCUUUUCUAGUAUACCAAAGGAACGAAUUAAAUGAUCUCUUAUAUAGCAACAUAAUUAAACUUCUCCUAAUAGUCCAUAUUUUUAUGGGUAAAAUUAUAUUGUUACCUCCUGAACUUUUAGCAAAGUUUUCACUUUAUCCCUCGAACUUCUAAAAUGGACAUCUAAUACUCUAAAUUCCAAUAUUUUGUUCAUGUUACUCUUUCCGUUAGUUUUUUCAUCAAGCUCCGUUAACCGGAAACUGACGGAAGGGAUAAAACGAAUAAAAUAUUAGAGUUUAGGGUAUUAGAUGUUUAUUUUAGAAGUUUGGAGGGUUAAGUAAAACUCGCCAAAAGUUCAGGAAAUAGCAGUGCAAUUUCACAUAUGAAAAAUUAAGGACCUAUUUAGCUCCUUAAAAAAUAGUAGAAAACUAUUUUUUGCGGAAAAUUUUUUUGUGAAAAAAGAGAAUUUUAAAUUUUUAUUGUUUGCUUCGACAAAAAAAAAAAAAAAAAGUUUUUCAUUCAUGCAUGUUUGGUGACAAGAAACAAAUGACGAGAGAGUGAGUGAGUAAUAGCUUGCCAGCGCGAUGCAGCAUAGCGUACGCAGCAGCCGUAACUUUCACGCGUGAUGGGGCAGUAGUUUGUGGACGCGACAUAGCCAUAAGGCAAUGGUGGCGCGGGCAAGAUGCAGUCGGAUUGGUGGCAACGAUAGCAGCAGAAUGCCGAUGUAGACGGAUAGGGAGAGAGAGAUGGUAGACACCGCCCGUUGCAAUUACGAGAUAAUGGGUAGAAAGUAAAGAAAGAUUCUUUUUUUUUAUAUGAGUGUAGCUAUCAUACAUUUAUGAAUAUAAACUCUUUUAUAUUUAUAAGCUUUUUACCAUUAAAUCUAUUUCUUAAUUAUUUUCACUCGUUAGAUCAUACUAUUUAAUUAAUCACUCAUUCAACUUUAGGAGGCCACCAUCAUUUCUAACCGCACAAUCAUUUAUCAACCGGUAAAAAAUUUAGAAAUACAAAGAAAUCUAUACUUAUAAGAGUAUAAUAGUACUAAUCCUUUAUAUAUAGGGUUAAUUUUAUACAGAUCCCUACAAAUAUAGUGAAUAACAAAUAUAUUCCUACAAAGUUCAAUUUUCAUAUGUUGUCCCUACACCGACCGUCCUUAGAGCAAGUGGCAAAGGGUUUGGUGGUUGGUGCUCGAGACCCAAAUUCGAAUCCUUGAUUCAGAUUUCCAACUAAGUUUAUUUCUAAAUAAAAUAAACGAAGCGGGUAACAUAUGUUGUCCCUACAAAUGUUCUGAUAUUUUCAAAUAUAUUCCUCUGAUUUAUUGCUUUUAGAAAACUGUUUAUAUUUUCAAUUUUGCCAUCACAAAUAUAUCCCUUCAAAAACUAUAACAAAAUAAUAUAAAAGGGUAAAAAUAUUAAAAGCUAGUUAGAGUUAAAUAUUUAAUCUAUGGUUAACUAAAAUUUUCUAACGAAUUCUACUGGUAGGGACAUAUUUAAAAAUAUCAUGAUUUUGUAGGGACAAUAUAUGAAAAUUAAACUUUAUAGAAGUAUAUUUACCAUUCAUUAUGUUUGUAGGAAUCUGUAUGAAAUUAACAAUAUAUAUAUAGGACGGGUUCGGAUUCGGGUCGAGUAUAGUCAAAAUCCAUAUCCGAAUUCAUAUCAAUUUUCCAUCAAGCUUCGUUAAUCGGAAACUGACAGAAAGAAUAAAACGAAUGAAAUAUUAGAGUUUAGAGUGUUAGAUAUAUAUCUAUUUUAGGAGUUUGCAAGGUUAAGUGAAACUUGCCAAAAGUUCAGAAAGUAGCAGUGCAAUUUACCCCGUAGAACUCUUGACUAUAAAUUAUUUUAUUAUAAUAUGUUACUUAUAAAUUGACUAUUAACCCUCAACUUAGUGAUCAUGCUUGAUUUUGAAUUUAUAUAUAUUUUUUAUCCUAAAAUAAAUUAUACCAUAAUUUAUCCUACAUUUUAUUGUAGUAAAAUAAAAACGAAAAAAAUGAAUUAGAGUGGCUUAAAAAUAAGAAAAGUGCGAUACUAAUUACCUACGAUACUCGAACACUCUACUAUCCUUAUUUACUCGCUAAUAUGGUUGAUUUACAAUAGGUGUACUCACUCAGAUAUAGAUAUUUUAAUUCUUAGUUAAUUUUCUAUACUACUCGUUUGUCCUUUUUAUCUUUAGAAGUAUUGUUAUAAAAAAUGCAUUUAUUUUCUGUAAAAUUAUGCAAUGUAACUUUAUUGUAGUCUAAAAUAAAAUUUGUGUACUUCAUUUCAGCCAAUUAAAAAUUUUUAAUAUAAAAAUAUAAAAUAAUAUUUUAUAAUACUUUAGAACAAUGUUUCUAAAGUAUGAUAAAUUAUGAUAUGAUUUAUUUUAGUAUAAAAUAUAUAUAUAUAUAUAUAUAUAUAUAUUCAAAAUCAAGUAUGAUCACUAACUUGAAAUUUAGUAGUAAAUCCAUAAGUAACAUAUUAUAAUAAAAUAAUUUAUAGUUGGGGUAAAUUGCAUUGUUACCUCCUGAAUUUUUGGCGAGUUUCACUUAACCCCCCAAACAUCUAAAAUAGACAUCUAACACCCUAAACUCUAAUAUUUCAUUCGCUUUACCCCUUCUGUCAGUUUCCGGUUAACAGAACUUGACGGAAAACUGACGGAAGUGGUAACAUGAACAAAAUAUUAGAAUUUAGGGUGUUAGAUCUCCAUUUUAGGAGUUCAAAGGGUAAAGUAAAAUUUCGUCAAAAGUUCAGGGGAUAACAAUAUAAUUUACCCAUAUUUUUAUCGUGUUGGAACCCAAUUAAGUAAUUUACAACCUCAUCCUACAAAAUGAGAUAUAAAUAGUUUACAGUAAGUAAACGGCACACUUCAAUUUUUACUUGAUAUUCGUGUCAAAUUAAGCUGAAUACACUCAGACAAAGUACAAACAGUGGGAUAAUUAAUAAUACAUAUUCAAACUUGGAAUACAAAGCAAGUAACGAGCGAGGGAGAGAACCACACAACAGCCCUUUUUGUGACUUAAUUACAACCUUAUACAGGAGCAAACAAGCACUUAAUUGAUUAGAUAGAGCUUGUUAUGCCCUCAGAUCCCGUGUCAGAGAGUUCGGGAUGAGGCAUUGAUGUGAGAGUUGGGUAGAGAGCGUACAAGGCAAUGCCACAUACUCCACUGUAUGAUCCGGUUUCUCUCGCCAGCCUCAUGUACCCAGCUUCGCCCCAGUUUUGGCCCCAUGAAUUCUUUAUAAGCCAGUAUUUUUCUCCCGUAUAAGAGUCUGCUCCGUAUCCUAUAAUUGUGAUGGCAUGGUUAAGUUUAGCUGCACAAGGUCCUCUGUAGAUACCGCCGCGGUACAACUGGAAGUUUUUACCGGCAGCGACUGCAGCGGCUACCGGUUGCUGCGCCACAGCAUACAUGAUGCUGCGCUCGUUCUUAGGAAGAAAUUUAUAACCAGUAAUGUAAGCUUCGUUGGGCACGAUACUGGCGUCGUAGCAUUGGCCUUUAGCUCCAUUGUAAGGAUAGGAUUGCUCGGAUGUCACACCUCUAUUCGCUAUGAUGAAAUCGUAUCCUUUUUCCACCCAGCCACCGAGUUGGCACCCGUAGCUGUAACUGCAAUCUAGAAUUUGUUGUUCUGACACAUCUGGCAUUAUUCCUUUCUUGAUUUUGUAGAUCCCUUCCACCGUCGCAGCUGCGACGAACGCCCAACAAGAACCUAUAUAUAUAUCAAAAGAGAGAUUCAUAUUAGCUUCUACAGGAGAAAUUUGUGGAUUGUAUACAACCAGAAAACAUUCGAAAACAUUCGAACAAUUGAAUGUUUAUAUAUAGAUUUUUCCAGAAAAAAAAAAAAAAAAUCUCAGGCGGUAUUCCAAGCUCUGUGUUUCUUUUAACUUCUUUUCACUAGCUAGCGUGUCAUUCCGCGUCCGAGUCAAGUUCUUAUUUGUUUUACUGAUAGAAGGUUAAACUACUGGAGCACCAUUUUUGACUAAAUAUCAUUUCAUCUCACAUCUUAUUUGAAGAUUUGUAGUAGGUGAUACUCAUGCUGAUGCAUUUUUUAUUGGUUUAGGGCCUGAACUUUGAAUUUUAAAAUAGGGAAAAUAUGGCUAUUUUUAUCAAAAAUAAUUAGUAGAUAAUUAACUGGGUGUUUCACAAAAUUGAAGUGAUUUCAUAUACUAUACUACUGAAAAUUUCUUACUGCAUGUGCCCUGUUGCUUGAUUUCUGUUACAGCACGAUAAUCCCUCCAAUCAAUACUUUGAGGCACUGAAGGCAUGUUUACAUUCUCGAACGGCAUCAACGGCUCCGACGUCCGAUUUGCAGGGACAGAUAAACCAGUGUAUUGAGCCAAAAAUUCGUCGGUCGUCAUAUCAGCAAACUGGUUGACACCGAGAGUGUACGAGUUUCCGCUGCGGUUAUUGAAGGUUUCAACGUAGUUCACAUUGUCUUGAAAUAUCCGAAACCGGUGCAGCUUCUCGACAUCGUCAUUGUAAACUCGACCGUACUCGGCCAUCCAUUCUUCAAACCGCUUCAUCAUGGGAUCACUGGGUUCGCCGCGAGAAGCCGCCAAU
This 70787-nucleotide long non-coding RNA is filed under the name Ananas comosus (pineapple). RNAcentral describes it as "long non-coding RNA (ACOM_LNC008224)". The record is from RNAcentral. Lineage: Eukaryota; Viridiplantae; Streptophyta; Magnoliopsida; Poales; Bromeliaceae.